This 55885-nucleotide long non-coding RNA is filed under the name Triticum aestivum (bread wheat). RNAcentral's name for it is "long non-coding RNA (TAES_LNC011556)". The record is from RNAcentral. Lineage: Eukaryota; Viridiplantae; Streptophyta; Magnoliopsida; Poales; Poaceae.
CAAAGGAAACUGUUGGGUACACCUUCUAUCAUAGAUCCGAAGGCAAGACAUUCGUUGCCAAGAAUGGAUCCUUUCUAGAGAAGGAUUUUCUCUCGAAAGAAGUGAGUGGGAGGAAAGUAGAACUUGAUGAGGUAAUUGUACCUGCUCCCGUCGGAAAGUAGUUCAUCACAGAAAUCAGUUCCUAUGACUCCUACACCAAUUAGUGAGGAAGCUAAUGAUGAUGAUCAUGUAACUUUAGAUCAAGUUACUACUGAACCUCGUAGGUCAACCAGAGCAAGAUCCGCACCAGAGUGGUAUGGUAAUCAUGUUCUGGAGGUCAUGUUACUUGACCAUGACGAACCUAUGAACUAUGAGGAAGCGAUGAUGAGCCCAAAUUCCGUGAAAUGGUUUGAGGCCAUGAAAUCUGAGAUGGGAUCCAUGUAUGAGAACAAAGUGUUGACUUUGGUUGACUUGCCCGAUGAUCGGCAAGCCAACAAGAAUAAAUGGAUCUUCAAGAAGAAGACUGAUGUUGACCGUAAUGUUACUGUCUACAAAGCUCGACUUAUUGCGAAAGGUUUUUGACAAGUUCAGGGAGUUGACUACGAUGAGACCUUCUGACCCAUAGCGAUGCUUAAGUCCGUCCAAAUCAUGUUAGCAAUUGCUGCAUUUUAUGAUUAUGAAAUUUGGCAAAAGGAUGUAAAGACUGUAUUCCUGAAUGGAUUUCUGGAAGAAGAGUUGUAUAUGAUGCAACCUGAAUGUUUUAUCGAUCCAAAGGAUGCUAACAAAGUGUGCAAGCUCCAGCGAUCCAUUUAUGGACUGGUGCAAGCAUCUCGGAGUUGGAAUAAAAGUUUUGAUAGUAUAAUCAAAGCAUAUGGUUUUCUACAGACUUUUGGAGAAGCUUGUAUUUACAAGAAAGUGAGUGGGAGCUCUGUAGCAUUUCUAAUAUUAUAUGUGGAUGACAUAUUGUUGAUUGGAAAUGAUAUAGAAUUUCUGGAUAGCAUAAAAGGAUAUUUGAAUAAGAGUUUUUCAAUGAAAGACCUCGAUGAAGCUGCUUAUAUAUUGGGCAUCAAGAUCUAUAGAUAUAGAUCAAGAUGCUUAAUUGGACUUCCACAAAGCACAUACCUUGAUAAAGUUUUGAAGGAGUUCAAAAUGGAUCAAGCAAAGAAAGGGUUCUUGCCUGUGUUACAAGGUGUGAAGUUGAGUCAGACUCAAUGCCCGACCACUGCAGAAGAUAGAGAGAAUGAAAGUCAUUCCCUCUGCUUCAGCCAUAGGUUCUAUCAUGUAUGCAAUGCUUUGUACCAGACCUGAUGUGUGCCUUGCUAUUAGUUUAGUAGCAAUGUACCAAAGUAAUCCAGGAGUGGGUCAUUGGACAGCGGUCAAGAACAUCCUGAAAUACCUGAAAAGGACUAAGGAUAUGUUUCUCGUUUAUGGAGGUGACAAAGAGCUUGUCGUAAAUGGUUAUGUCGAUGCAAGCUUUGACACUAAUAUGGAUGACUCUAAGUCACAAAUUGGAUACAUAUUUAUAUUGAACGGUGGAGCUGUAAGUUGGUGCAAUUCUAAGCAAAGCGUCGUGGCGGGAUCUACGUGUGAAGUGGAGUACAUAGCUGCUUCGGAAGUAGCAAAUGAAGGAGUCUAGAUGAAGGAGUUCAGAUCCGAUCUAGGUGUCAUACCUAGUGCAUCAUGUCCAAUGAAAAUCUUUUGUGACAAUACUGGUGCAAUUGCCUUGGCAAAGGAAUCCAGAUUUCACAAGAGAACCAAGCACAUCAAAAGACGCUUCAAUUCCAUCUGCAAUCAAGUCAAGGAGGGAGACAAAGAGAUUUGCAAGAUCCAUACGGAUCUGAAUGUUGUAGACCCGUUGACUAAGCCUCUCUCACGAGCAAACCUUGAUCAGCACCAAGACUCCAUGGGUGUUAGAAUCAUUACUAUGUAAUCUAGAUUAUUGACUCUAGUGCAAGUGGGAGACUGAAGGAAAUAUGCCUUGGAGGCAAUAAUAAAGUUGUUAUUUAUAUUUCCUUAUAUCAUGAUAAAUGUUUAUUAUUCAUGCUAGAAUUGUAUUAACCGGAAACUUAGUACAUGUGUGAAUACAUAGACAAACAGAUUGUCACUAGUAUGCCUCUACUUGACUAGCUCGUUCAAUCAAAGAUGGUUAAGUUUCCUAGCCAUAGAAAUGAGUUGUCAUUUGAUUAACGGAUCACAUCAUUAGAGAAUGAUGUGAUUGACUUGACCCAUUCCGUUAGCUUAGCACUUGAUCGUUUAGUUUAUUGCUAUUACUUUCUUCAUGACUUAUACAUGUUCCUAUGACUAUGAGAUUAUGCAACUGUCGAAUACCGGAGGAACACUUAGUGUGUUAUAGAACGUCACAACGUAAGUGGGUGAUUAUAAAGAUGCUCUACAGGUGUCUCUGAUGGUGUGUGUUGAGUUGGCAUAGAUCGAGAUUAGGAUAUGUCACUCCAAGUAUCGGAGAGGUAUCUCUGGGCUCUCUCGGCAAUGCACAUCACUAUAAGCCUUGCAAGCAAUGUGACUAAUGAGUUAGUUACGGGAUGAUGCAUUACAGAACGAGUAAAGAGACUUGCCGGUAACGAGAUUGAACUAGGUAUUGAGAUACCGACGAUCGAAUCUCGGGCAAGUAACAUACCGAUGACAAAAGGAACAACGUAUGUAGUUAUGUGGUUUGACCGAUAAAGAUCUUCGUAGAAUAUGUAGGAACCAAUAUGAGCAUCUAGGUUCCGCUAUUGGUUAUUGAUCGGAGAUGAGUCUCGGUCAUGUCUACAUAGUUCUCUAACCCAUAGGGUCCGCAUGCUUAACAUUCGGUGACGAUCGGUAUUAUGAGUAUAUGUGUUUUGAUGUACCGAAGGUUGUUCAGAGUCUCAGAUGUGAUCAUGGACAUGACGAGGAGUCUCGAAAUGGUCUAGACAUAAAGAUCGAUAUAUUGGAUGGCUAUGUUUGGACAUCAGAAUGGUUUCGGGUGAGUUCGGGCAUUUACCAGAGUACCAGGAGGUUACCGAAACCCCCCGGGGAGUACAUGGGCCUUAUUGGGCCUUAAUGGGAGAGAGGAGGAGGCGUCCAAGUAGGGGGCGCACCCCCCCCCCCCCGCCAAGCCCAAUCCGAAUUGGGUGGGGGGCGGCCCCCUUUCCUUCAUUCAUCUCUCCUCCUUCCUUCCUCUCCUACUCCAACUAGGGAAGGGGGUGAAUCCUACUCAUGAUGGGAGUAGGACUCCCCUAGGGCGCGCCAUAGAGAGGGUCGGCCCCUCCCCUCCUCCACUCCUUUAUAUACGGGGGAGGGGGCACCCCAUAUACACACAAGUUGAUUGUUUAGCCGUGUGCGGUGCCCCCUCCAUAGAUUUCCCCCUUGGUCAUAUCGUUGUAGUGCUUAGGCAAAGCCCUGCAUCGGUAACUUCAUCAUCACCGUCAUCACGCCAUCGUGCUGACGAAGCUCUUCCCCGACACUCAGCUGGAUCUAGAGUUCGUGGGACGUCACCAAGCUGAACGUGUGCAGAUCACGGAGGUGUCGUACUUUCGGUACUAGGAUCGGUCAGAUCAUGAAGACAUACGACUACAUCAACCGCGUUGUCAUAACGCUUCCGCUUUCGGUCUACAUGGGUACGUCGACAACACUCUUCCUCUUGUUGCUAUGCAUCACCUAAAUGGAUAUUGCGUGUGCGUAGGAAUUUUUUUGAAACUACUGUGUUCCCCAUCAGAAGACUUCUUUGAUACUUACUCACCUAUGGCUCAACUGACCACUAUUCGAGUACUACUUUCACUAGUGUAACACCCCGGAUACAACUUUCCAUAUUCAUAACUCCAACUCUUGUCUUUUCCGGAGAUGCUAUAUGAUUUUUCCUUCGUGGUUGGGUUUUAUCUGUUGUUUUGCAUUUUGUUCUUGUUAUGCAUCUCAUAUCAUGUCAUCAUCUGCAUUUCAUCCGCCUGUUUUUCAAAACUUGCAUCCGUUCGUGUUCUGCCGGUUCUCUCCGUUGUCCGUUCCGAGUCCGAACACACUUGCACGCGCCCGCGGCACCUCCGAAAUAUGAUUUUAUAAGUGGCAUAAAAAUGUUCUCAGAAUGGGUUGCAACUUGUCGUGCAGUCUUAUUAUAGUGUAGACAGGCCGCCUGCCAAGUUUCGUCGCAUUCGGAGUCCAUUUGGUAGCCCAACCGUUAAACCUACAACCGCAAUAUAGCCGGUCUAUCGUCGGACGUUUUCGGUCUCCGAAAAUCGUGUUGGGCUGCAUUUGUCCUCUCUCUCCUAUCAGCCCAAGCCUCUCUCACACAGCCCACUAGCCCACCUAUCUAACCCCCCUCUGCUCCGGACCGUUGGAUCGAGAUCCGAUGUCCGAAAACGGAGCAGCUACCCCCUAAACCCUAGCUUUUACCCUAUAUAUAGACGCCCUCAUGCCAUUUUGGGCAUCUCCUAGCCGCUUCCCUCGUUUUCCGUGCCCCUCCACAGUGCCGCCGCCGCCCGAGCGCCCGAGUGCCCCGCGUCCCCGCGCCUUCUCCCGCGCCGUAGCGCAUCCCCGCCGCCCGCUUGCCUGGCAUCUCCCCGCCGGCCAGAGCUCGUCGGAACCCCGCCGGGCAUCGCCAUCGCCGACCCCCCCAAGGCUAGGCCUCGCCGUCCCCUGCUCCCUUUUCUCUCCCUCUCGCUCCUCUCUCUCUCUCAGAUCUCACAUCUCUCUCCCUCUCUGCCAUGGUUUGUCAGGAGCUCGUCGCUGCUCGCCGUAGGUGCUGCCGUGGCUGGAUCCAGGGUCCCCAUGCCCGAAUCUGCCCGUUUCUGCCGGAACUGCCCCGCGCCGCCCCGUCCUUGCCUGCUCGCCGCCGGCGCCAUCUAUCGCCGCCACCCUGCCUCGUCUCUGCUCAGGAACGAGGAGCUCGAUGCCUCGCCUGCUCGUGCAUGCGCGUGCGCGUGGGCCUCCAGCCGGCCCAGCCCAGCUCUCUCUAGCGCCGGCCUGCCCAGUUCCCUCGCCUCCUGGAUCAGAUCCGCAGUAGGCCCAACGCGCCCGGCCAGCCCCGCUGGCCUGCUCCACCGCGCCCUCCCGCGGGCUGCCUUCCCGUCUGGGCCGAGCCCAAGGGUGAGCCGCCCCCAGCGCCUCUUGUUUUUUUUUACUGUUGGCCCAGCCGGUUUUGGCCCGUGAUGUUUUUUUCCUGCCAGGACGAUUUUAUCUAUUUAUCCGGGAAUUAAUGUUUUACAGAAAACCCCUUGCACUUCAUGCAUUUAAUUACUCACAAACCGUUCAUCGGAUUAAAAUGAUUUAAACAUGUAAAAUGCUCAGAAAAUUGUGUAGAUUAAUAAUAUGCCAUUUUCAUCCAUGUUAAAAAUGUUAAAAAUGUUGUUUGUUUAAAUUUGCUAAAAUUGCCAUGCUAAAAUGAUUUAUUUCAUAACUAAAUAACCGUAGCUCGGUUUUAAAUAACUUUAUAUGUAUUUGGGGUGGAAAAAUGCCUAGAUUAACUUGGUGCACUUUAUUUUCCUGUUUAACAACAAUAAAAUUGUGUUUAUGGCAGAACAGUACCAAAUUCAUUUUAUGCACAUAGGGAUAUUCCGGAAUUGUUGUUUGUUGUUUCCGGCCUCACUUAAACUUGCCUAGAUAGGUAGAUUAAUUAUGUUUCACCUCUUGACCUGUUUAACAACAUUUAAUAUUGUUGUGUACCUAAACGAGAUUAAACUAAAUAUGUCAAUGUGGUGUUUCGUCAAUAUGCAACUCGUUGCAUAUCGAGCUCCACUUAACUUGUAGUAUUGCUUGUUGCACUUUGCCAUGCCAUGCCUCAUUAAACCGGACAUGCAUCAUACUUGUUUGUGCAUCAUGCCAUGCUUAUGCUUGUUGGUUUACCAUGUUGUUUGUUUCUUUCCGGUAUUGCUUCUUAGUUCCGGUAAUGUUGCGAUUGUGAGGAUUCGUUUGACUACGUCCGCUUGUCUUCUUCAUGGACUCGUUCUUCUUCCUUGCGGGAUUUCAGGCAAGAUGACCGCUACCCUGGAUCUCACUACUAUCAUUGCUAUGCUAGUUGCUUCGUUCUAUCGCUAUGUUGUGUUACCUAUCACCUGUUUAUCAAGCCUCCCAAAUUGCCAUGAACCUCUAACCUUUGACACCCUUCCUAGCAAACCAUUGCUUGGCUAUGUUACCGCUUUGCUCAGCCCCUCUUAUAGUGUUGCUAGUUGCAGGUGAAGUUGAAGAUUGCUCCAUGGUGGACAGGAUUUUGGUUGGGAUAUCACAAUAUCUCUUAUAUUAUUAAUGCAUCUAUAUAUUCGGUAAAGGGUGGAAGGCUCGGCCUUAUGCCUGGUGUUUUGUUCCACUCUUGCCGCCCUAGUUUCCGUCAUACCGGUGUUAUGUUACCGGAUUUUGCGUUCCUUACGCGGUCGGGUGAUUUAUGGGACCCCCUCGACAGUUCGCUUUGAAUAAAACUCCUCCAGCAAGGCCCAACCUUGGUUUUACCAUUUGCCUCACCACUACCUACUUUUCCCUUGGGAGUAAUUAACCCAAGGGUCAUCUUUAUUAUAGCCCCCCCCCGGGCCAGUGCUUGUCUAAGUGUUGGUCCAAACUAGAGCCCUUUGCAACGCCCCCUCAGGGAAACUUGAGGUCUGGUUUUAGUUGUACGGAUUGCUCAUCCGGUGUUGCCCUGAGAACGAGAUAUGUGCAGCUCCUAUCGGGAUUGUCGGCGCAUCGGGCGGCUUUGCUGGUCUUGUUUUACCAUUGUCAAAAUGUCUUGUAAACCGGGAUUCCGAGUCUAAUCGGGUCUUCCUGGGAGAAGGUCUAUUCCUUCAUUGAUCGCGAGAGCUUGUCAUGGGCUAAGUUGGGACACCCCAGCAGGGUAUAAUCUUUCAAAAGACGUGCCUGCGGUUAUAGGCAGAUGGGAAUUUGUUAAUGUCCGGUUGUAGAUAACUUGACACCAUAUCCGAAUUAAAACGCAUCAACCGUGUGUGUAGCCGUGAUGGUCUCUUUUUGGUAGAGUCCGGGAAGUGAACACGGUUUUGGGUUAUGUUUGACGUAAGUAGGAGUUCAGGAUCACUUCUUGAUCAUUGCUAGCUUCACGACCGUUCCGCUUGCUCUCUCCUCGCUCUUAUUUGCGUAUGUUAGCCACCAUAUAUGCUUAGUCGCUGCUGCAGCCUCACCACUUUACCCCUUCCAUUCCCUUUAAGCUUUGUUAGUCUUGAUACCCAUGGUAAUGGGAUUGCUGAGUCCUCGUGGCUCACAGAUUACUACAACAACAGUUGCAGGUACAGGUUAUGUGAUGAUCAUGACGCGAGAGCGAUGCUUGCUUGCUUUGAGUUCUUCUUCUGCUUCUUCUUCGGUCAGGGGAUAGGUUCCAGGUCGGCAGCCUGGGCUAGCAGGGUGGAUGUCGUUUGAGUUUCUGUUUGUGAUUCAUCCGUAGUCGGAUGAUGCUCUUUUGUAUUGUGAUGUUGUAUUCAUGUGUCAUUGUAUGCCUUAUGUAUGUAUCCCCAUCUAUUAUGUAAUGUUGAUGUAAUGAUAUCCACCUUGCCAAUGCGUUUCCAUAUGCGGGUCUAUCCUUGGUGGGACCUUCGAGUUCCUUUUGGAUAGGGUCGCAUAUUGGGCGUGACAACUAGCUACCUCACACGGUCUUCUCGUUCAUCAAAUCGAUGUUAAGACUACUUUCCUAAAUAGAGAGUUGGAUGAGGAAUUUUAUAUGGAACAACCAGAUGGGUUUGUAGUAGAUGGUCAGGAAGGAAAAGUGUGCAAGUUGCUGAAGUCUUUGUAUUGACUUAAGCAAGCACCCAAGCAGUGGCAUGAGAAGUUUGAAAGAACUUUAACAGCUGCAGGCUUUGUUGUAAACAAAGCUGAUAAAUGUGUGUACUAUAGACAUGGUGGGGGCGAGUGAGUUGUCCUUUGCUUGUAUGUCGAUGACAUACUGAUUUUCAAAACAAAUCUAAAUGUUAUUAAGGAGGUCAAGGAUUUCCUAUCUCGUUGUUUUGAGAUGAAGGAUUUAGGAGUGGCUGAUGUUAUUCUAAACAUCAAGCUAUAGAGAGACGAUGAUGGCGGGGUUACAAUGCCUCAAUCUCACUAUGUGGAAAAGAUCUUGAGUCACUUUGGCUGUAGUGACUGCAAGCCCUCUCCAACACCAUAUGAUGCUACUGUGCUGCUUCGAAAGAAUCGAAGAAUUUCUAGAGAUCAAUUGAAAUAUUCUCUGGUUAUUGGCUCUCUUAUGUAUUUAGCUAGUGCUCUCUUAUGUAUUUAGCCAAUGCUACAAGACCUGACAUCUAUUUUGUUGUUAGCAAACUGAACCGAUUUGUUUCAAAACCGGGAGAUGGUCAUUGGAAAUCUCUAGAGAGAGUCAUGCAUUAUUUGAAAGGCACUGCGAAUUAUGGAAUUCACUAUACUGGGUACCCAAAGGUACUGGAAGGCUAUAGUGACUCAAACUGGAUCUCAUAUGCUGAUGAUAUAAAGGCCACGAGCGGAUAUGUAUUCACUCAUGGAGGAGGCGCGUUUCUUGUAAGUAUUGCAAGCAGACCAUCUUAACGAGGUCAACAAUGGAAACAGAGCUCACAUCACUAGAUACAGCUACGGUCGAAGCAGAUUGGCUUCAUCGGCUCUUGAAUGACUUGUCGGUUGUUGAGGAACAUGUACCGGGUAUCCUUAUGAACUGCGACAAUCAAACUAUGAUCACGAAGGUGAGCAACUCAAAGGAUAACAUGAAGUCAUCACGACACGUUCAGAGAAGGUUAACAUUUAUUAGGAAAAUGUAAACUCUGGAGUUAUUGCAUUGGACUAUACCCAAACAUCUAAAAAUCUGGCGGAUCCUUUUACUAAGGGUCCAUCAUGUAAUGUGACAGAUAAUGCAUCGAAGGAGAUGGGUAGGAGACCCACAAUAUGAGUUUGUUCAUAGUGGUAACCUAGUCUAUGUGAUCAGAGAUCCCGUGAAUUAGAUGUGGAAGACAAGUUUUUGGUAAACUGAGAGGAGAGUAUCCUUACUGUUAACAAUACCACUCCAUGAAGAUGCAAUACUCUCCUAAUCUGCAUGGCAGGUUGAUGUAUAUCUUCAUGUGUUCUAAGUGGCUCAUCUAAGCAGAGAUGUUGUCCUGCAGAACAUCUUUUGAAGAACACACCUAUAUGAGUCUGAUUGUUAAAAGCCGCAAUCUAUGAGAGUAGGGAAGUCCCAUGAAAGGUCUCGGAGUAUGACGCAUAAGCUCCAGCCGUGGGGAAGUCCCACGGUAGCCUAGUAUCGGUCAAGGCUUUGUGUGAAGCUAGAUUUGCAGAAAAUUUGCAGUUCAAGGCCUAGUCCACUGUUCAAGUUGCUUACUAGUGUAGCAUAGAUUUCUAGGUGGAAGUUGAACUUAAUAGUCUCCACUGCAAUACCGGUAUAUAAAAUAGUGUUUCUGAACUAAAGGCAACUUUUAUGUGCCUCUAGGAUCUGGUGGGGGAUUGCUGGAAUUUUGUCUGUUUUGGGCUAGCACAAUAGUAUUUUCAAAAAUUCCUAAUAAAUCCUAGAGGCCCACUCAGCCCAUUCGUGCAAGGCAAGGGGUGGGACUAAAGUUUUGUCCCACAUUGCUAGUUUGGUGGGAGUAAGGGAGGUUUUUCCCCACAUGUAUGAGCAUGAGAACAAGAGAGACAUAUGUGCUCCUCCUCCUCCUGGCCACGCCACGCCUCGUCACGACGCAUCGCGCCGCGGGUUGCGGGAAUGAGCCGAGCCGAUGUCUAAAUUUUUGCUGCACACGACUGGUAUACGAAAGGUCACACGGAAGCCGAAAAGUUUUUGCUAUAGUGGAGACUGAAUGUGAACGGCGCAUCCCUUCAGCUCCUGGUUGUUCGCUUCAUCUCCGUCUCUUCGUUUCACCUUCCGUUGCUGCCUUCUCGCCUUGUUCCCAUGUGCCUAUAAAAGAGAGGUCGCUCCUCUCCACAGGCACACACCAUACCAUCUCCUCUCUCUACCAAGUUUCAACCUUUUAGCUACUGCAAGGAUUCUUCCCCAUUCCGUCUUGCGGCAUGCACCGCGGGUCGGGACAGUAGGCUCCGAACCAUCACAUCAUUGAGUCCUAUACGAGAGAAGGGUGAUAAGGAUUUUUGAGAGCGCUCUGUGCGACUACUGACUUCUUCAUCACAGAUGCUCCGGACACCGACGAUGACUUCCCCAACGACGACUUCUUUCCCGACGUCGACAACCUCUUCAACGACAUGGCCGGCGAGGACGUCGGCCCCAAGAUCAAUGCUUAUGUUGCUUCUCCGUACGUUCUCAUCAUCUUUAUGUUUGAGUUCCUACAACAGUUUCUAUUUCUCCUUCUAGUAUCUAUUCUACAUAUGUUCUGUUCUAGUUCACAUGUGCAGAUGCUAUUUGCCUUCUCUCUUUUAGAUUACAUGACUUGUUUCAUCUCUACUAUGAUAGUCAUGUUUUUCCUACUAGUUCUGUUAAUAAAAUCAUAUGGUAAAUUGCUCAUAUUUCCAACACAUACAUCAAGAGCCAUCUAGCUAGACUGGUAAUCAAGUGGUCUUCCAAAGCUAGCUAGCUAAAUGAACCUGCAUUGUAGUAGAAAAAACUUAGAUAGGUUGUAAUAAUAAAGCAGAGUAUCAUAAAACAGUUGUAUGCAUACAAAGGGAUCCAUGUAGAAUGGCCGAGGAUAGAUCCUGGUUGAUUAUUCAAUGUGAUGCCCGGUCCAGCGCCCCCUCCCCACCCCCUGUUAUCGAUGGCUUUGGCUUUGAACACAAGUAACACAAGUAUGUUAUGCCACUGGGCAAUCUCAGUGGCCCAAACAACUCUUCAUCUGAAAUCUCUUGAUCUGGCUAUGUAUGUUCAGAAUUACCCCUAGAUUUUGUGGUUUCAUGAACCUUAAGGAACUCACACUAAACAAGGUAUCUAGCAACUCAUGUGAUUUCCAGUGUAUGUUGCCAAGUUGUGCUCUUCUUUAGAGUUUAACACAUGUUUGUUUGAGCUUCGGCUUCAACCUUUUGUUGCUUCUAGACCCCUAAGAGCAGAAGCCCCGCCAAACAGCUAAUUUCACGGUUGGUCUUCUGAAAGUGCAACUAUCCCUGGGUGGUUUUGGUAAUUCCUAACAACAUAUAUCUCAUUGAGCUAAUGCUAUUUCAAGAUAAAUAUUUCAGGAAAGCUCAAUGAUUGGCAUGGCAUGGAUGAGAAAAGUGGAUCCCUCAAAAUGCUAAGGACAAAAGGAUUGGCUCAAGCUCAAAGCACAAGACUCUACAUUUUCUAUUUUAGUGAUUCAAGAUCACAUUGAGUCUAUAGGAAAAGCCAAUACUAUCAAGGAGGGAUGAGGUGUUGCUUAAUGGCUUUCUUGCUCAAAAUGCUUAGUGAUAUGCUCCAAAGCCCUCAACUACUUUCUCACAUCCACAUAUGACCCAAACCAAAAGUCCAACUCGGCCUCACCGAUUCCUUCUAUCUGGCGCCACCGAGUUUAUAUGUCAUAGCCACUGCCACAAACCCUAAUCAAAUCAGUCUCACCGAUAGGGAUCUCGGUCUCACCGAGAUGGGAUUGUAAUCUCUCUGUUUCCCUUCGUAACGUUUCGGUCCAACCGAGAUGAGCGAUCGGUCCCACCGAGAUUGCAAUGCAAACUCUCUGUUUCCCUUUUGUAAUGUUUCGGUCCAACCGAGAUGAGCGAAUCGGUCCCACCGAGUUUGCCUGACCAACCCUCUGUGUGUCCAUUACCAAAAUCGGUCUCACUGAGUUUGAGUAAUCGGUCUCACCAAGAUUACGUUAUGCCCUAACCCUAACCAUAUUGGUCCCACCGAAAAUCCUAACGGUCACAUUAUUUGCUGAAUCGGUCCGACCGAGUUUGACGAUUCGGUCCCACCGAGAUUUGUAAGUUGUGUGUAACGGUUAGAUUUUGUGUGGAGGCUAUAUAUACCCCUCCACCCACUCUUCAUUCGUGGAGAGAGCCAUCAGAACAUGCCUACACUUCCAACCUACAUUUUCUGAGAGAGAACCACCUACACUUGUGUUGAGGUUAAGAUAUUCCAUUCCUACCAUAUGAAUCUUGAUCUCUAGCCUUCCCCAAGUUGCUUUACACUCAAAUUUUCUUUCCACCAAAUCCAAAUCCUGUGAGAGAGAGUUGAGUGUUGGGGAGACUAUCAUUUGAAGCACAAGAGCAAGGAGUUCAUCAUCAACACACCAUUUGUUACUUCUUGGAGAGUGGUGUCUCCUAGAUUGGCUAGGUGUCACUUGGGAGCCUCCGACAAGAUUGUGGAGUUGAACCAAGGAGUUUGUAAGGGCAAGGAGAUUGCCUACUUCGUGAAGAUAUACCCUAGUGAGGCAAAUCCUUCGUGGGCGACGGCCAUGGUGGGAUAGACAAGGUUGCUUCUUCGUGGACCCUUCGUGGGUGGAGCCCUUCGUGGACUCGUGCAGCCGUUACCCUUCAUGGGUUGAAGUCUCCGUCAACGUGGAUUUAUGAUAGCACCACCUAUCGGAACCAUGACAAAAACAUCCAUGUCUCCAAUUGCGUUUGCCUUCUCAGACUCCUCCCCUUUACCUUCAUAUGCAAUUGUUUUACAUUCCGCUGCUAUACUCUUAGAAUUGCAUGUGUAGGCUGAUUGCUUGACUUGUGCUAAGUUGCUAAAAUCUGCCAAGAACUAAAAUUGGGAAAAGGCUAGAUUUUUAUUUGGUCAAGUAGUCUAAUCACCCCCCCUAGACAUACUUUCGAUCCUACAAGUGGUAUCAGAGCUUUGGUUUCCAUUUUCUUUGAUUUCCAUAGCUUUUGGUGGUCAUAGCCUUGGUUUCACAACCUAGGAGAGUAUGACGUCUAGCGAGGGAAAUUACCACCAUAGAGGUCCUUACUUUUAUGGUACUAAUUUUGCUAGUUGGAAGCAUAAGAUGAAAAUGCAUAUUCUUGGACAUAACCCUGACGUUUGGGCUAUUGUGUGUAUUGGCUUGCAAGGUGAAUUAUUUGAUGGGAGAGAACCGAACCGUGAAGCUACCGCGGAAGAAUUGAAGAUGCUACAAUACAAUGCUCAAGCUUGUGAUAUCCUCUCAACGGAUUGUGCCCUGAAGAAUUCAACAAAAUCAGCCGUCUUGAGAAUGCAAAGGAAAUUUGGGAUACAUUGAUUGAUAUGCACGAAGGUACCGACUCCGUCAAGGAAUCCAAGUUAGAUGUGCUUCAAAGUCUGCUUGACAAGUUCAAAAUGAAGGAUGGUGAAGGUGUCGCCGAAAUGUACUCUAGGCUUGCUCUUAUCACAAAUGAGAUUGCCGGCUUAGGAAGUGAAGAGAUGAUCGACAAAUUCAUCAUCAAGAAGAUCCUAAGAGCUUUGGAUGGAAAAUAUGAUACCAUGUGCACAUUGAUCCAAAUGAUGCCAAAUUACAAAGAUCUCAAGCCAACAGAAGUCAUUGGAAGAAUUGUUGCUCAUGAGAUGUCACUCAAGGAUAAGGAGGAGCUCCACAACAAGUCAAGUGGUGCUUACAAAGCGUCAUGUGAAGCUCCCACAUCAUCAAGUGAGAAACAAACCUUCAAUGAAGAAUUGAGCCUAAUGGUGAAGAACUUCAACAAGUUCUACAAGAGUAGAAGCAAGGAAAGAAGUUCCAAGUCAAGGUCCUACAAUGACCAAAGAUCUUCUAGUCGUGAGCAUAAUUGCUACAAUUGUGGAAGACCCGAACACUAUUCCAAUGAGUGUACGGACCCUACAAAAGAAGAGAAGAUUCUCCAAAAAGAAGAAGUAGAAGAGAAGAAUCACCAUAAGAGAAAGAAGGAGUAGAGAUGAUCGUUAUGAACGAAGAACAUACCGGAGAAGCAAGGAUUCGGAAAGGAAGGACAAGUCAUCAAGGAGCUACACAAAACGAAGACAUCAAGCUCAUGUUGGUGAAUGGAUAUCCGGCUCCGACUCCGACAAUCACUCCGAGAGAAGCUAUCACUCCGACUCUGAAUAUACUCAAGAUGAAGGUGUUACCGGUCUAGCACUUGUGUCUACCAACUCCUACAACAUAUUUGAUUCACCAAAUUAAGGACUUGGAAGAUGCUUCAUGGCUAAAGGCCCAAAGGUAUCACACCCCGAGUAUGUUGAUUUCAAUAGUGAUGAAGAUGAUUUGUUAGGUGAUGAUGAUUUACUUGUUGACAACUGUAGUGAUGAAUAAUAUGAUGAAAUGUAAAUUAAUCAUGCUAAUCAAGAUAAAACGAAUGACAAUGAUAAGGAGAAGAUUAAGCUCCUAACUAAAGAACUAAACACUCUUAAGUUAGCUCAUGAAACUAUCUUAGGAGAUCAUCGAGAACUUUUAAGGACUCAUGAGAAGUUACGCUUUGAAAAGCUCAACCUUGAGCAAGAGCAUGAGUUCUUAAAGGCAAUCAAUGAUGAUCUUCGCAAGAAAAGUUCUUCUUACAUUGCCAAGCGUUUACUCUUAUCUACUUACAUGCCUCAUGUCAAGUCUAGUAACAAGAACAAGAAAGAUUCUUCCUCUAGUAGUAAUAAUAAUCAUGCUAAAUCUAGUGUUGUUGCUUCUAGUAGUUCUCUUGAUUCCACUAAUGAUUCUCUUAGCCAAGUUACACUUGAGCAAGAAAAUAGCCUUUUGAAGGGAAUUAUAGAGAAAGGUGUUUACAAGAGCCUUCCGGGAGUAAGCAAUUCAAGGAAAUUGUGCACAAGCAAGGAAGGCACCGGAAGAACCAAGGUGUUGGUUUUGAACGAAAGUUCAAUGCCAAUGGAGUUGAGUGGGAAGAAGAUCAAUACCCCAAGACAAAGUUUGUUCCUCAACAAGAGAAGUAUGAUCCUACUUCUUUCAAAGGGACACAAGCUCAAGAUGAUCUUCCACCACAAGACCACAAGCAAAAAGGCAAGGACAAGCUUCAAGAGGAGAUUGAUGCAUUUGAAGAAGCUCCUAAGGCCUUAGUCAAGUGGGUUCCCAAGACUACAUCAAGUUCUACUUCAUCAAGUUCGACUAUGUCUCCAAGGAUUCCCAUCAAGAUGAUGUGGAUCCCGAAUAAGAAGAACUAGAGAGUUCUUGAGGGUGACUCCGCCAACGUACUUCACUCAUAUCAUUUGGCAAGAACAAGUGCAAUCAACCUCCACAUCUUGCACUAGUUCAAGGAGUCACAAACCCUCUUGUUGGUAAGACAAGGGACAAGGUAACCCAAUGCUUUCAUGGACAUCAUCUUGUCUGUGCAUCACUCUAUGUCUAUGGAUAUCCUUGUUUGUUCCUUGUGGGACUAACCCGUGUAGGUAUUGAAAGUGCAACUCACUCCAAAGGAUUGCUCCAAAUGAUCUGCAUCAACAUUGAGCAUCCACAUCUUCAACACCUACAUGAAGUCAUCAUCGACAAAAUCCAAGGUUAGUUCAUCCCUCUUAGGGGGGAUCUCACAUCUAGGGGGAGCUUUACUCUAAGAAUUGAGCUAAAGCAACUCUAAUGCUGUGAACACAACAAUGCUUUAUGUAACGGUGGUAACCCCACUUGUGCUUAAACAAUGAGUAUGACCUAUGAUCAAAUGUUCUCAUUUGACUCCUAAGUCAAUAUACUCAUAUAUAGAUGACCUAGUCAUCGCCAAUUGCUUGAUAGAUGCUAGAAUUGUGUGUGCAUGCUUUGUCACAUAUUUCAUUUGCCAUUUUAUUGUGUGAGCAUGUUGGUUGCAUAUUUUACUCAUUCGAGGACAUCCACUUGUAGUUUUGAUUGUUUGGUCUCUUUUUCUUUUUGCCAAGUGGAUGGACAAGAAUGCCUAAGGACCUUAUCUAGCUAUCUUUUCUUUUCUUGUCUCAAAAUCUAUUCAUGCUAUAUCAUGAUUUGAGCCACUCUGUGUGAGGAGCACUCGGAGUCCCUGAUUCGUCAUAGACUUAAACUUACAAAACCACUUUGUGCGUUUCAGUCUGACCGAUUCAACCUUUUUGGUCAUACCGAGAUCACUAAGUUGAUCUAGGUUUUCAAUCUCGGUGCAACCGAUUUGAACUUCUCGGUCACAUCGAGUUGCAGUAACUGCUUGCAGUAAUGCAUCUCGGUGCCACCGAGUUGUUCCACUCGGUCACACCGACAGGGUCAGGCUAUAUAUACCCCCGGGCCAAAAUUUGGAAAUCUUUCCGAAACCCUUCGCCCGCGCACAGCCUGCUCUGCCUCUUCGGGUCUCCGGAUCGUCCUCCUUGUCGCCAGCGACCUCCCGCCACUGGUCUUUGCCGCCGUCAACGGGAUUCUGCUCCGCCGUUGCCGCCAUAGCAAAUCCAUCGCCGCAUUAGGGUAUGGAUUUGAUCUUUGUGCUAUUCCUAACUCCGAUUUUUAGCACAUUGCAUCGCCAUGAAUCUUGCCACAUUUGAAAUCUUCCUAUCCAGCAAAACUACUUCGUAGAUUAGUCUUGGAUUGAAAAUUUAGGGUUAGGUUUCCGCCGAAUUCAUCUCGGACCGACCGAGUUGUAGAAAUCGGUCUCACCGAUUUGGCUCAGGCCAUUGCACAUGUGAUUCUCGGUCUGGCCGAGAAUUGCAAAUUGGUGUGACCGAGAUCAAUUCUCCGUGAAACCCUAGCAUUCUCGGUGCCACCGAACUGUGACUUGGUCUAUCCAAGUUCACUUGUUUAGGUUCCAAAAGCUGCUUCGGUAUCACCGAGUUUACAAAUCGGUAGCUCCGAAAUGCUUUCUAUGGAAAACUAAAACUAAGUUUUUGACUCAAUGUUUUGCAAAAACCUCUGUGCUUUGUGAUGCUCAUCUACUCUACCUCGUCUACAUCUAUUCACAAGGUCUGCUAUCAGAGUUUGCAUUAUGUCAGAUCAGAGUGACGGUUAGAACAAGUCUGAGGAGCAAGUUCAUAUGAGUGAGGGCACUAGUCCCUCCAGCAGUUAUGAUGAGGGUAGCAGAAGCACACCCGGCAAUUUGCAAAAGGCAACCAGCAGGGCAAGGAAUAAGAAAACCUCAUAUUCUGAAGAUGAGUACUAUGUGGCUGUUGAGGAUGAGGCCACUUCCAAGAAGAAGAUGUUGAAGAAGGAAUAUGGCACAGCUGCAUCCACUAAGCCAUGGAUGCAAAAGAAGGCACCUGCCAGGAGAAUUCCCACUUCCAAACCUAGGAAGGUUGCCACUGGUGAAACCAUGAAGUUCACCAUUGAGUCUGAUGAUGAAGCUGAUGGCCAAGAUAAGAAGAAGAAGAGAGUCAAAACUACUACUACCAAAGUACUUGGCAAGCCCUCUAUGAGGAGAGACUCUAAAGAAGAAGAGGAAGAGGUUGCUGCACCAGCACCUAAAGCUCAAAAGCUGAUGGGAGAUGCUAUAAGAUCAGGGGCUGCUCCAUCUAAGCCAAAGAUGCUCCCAAGGCUGCUGCUCCUAAGCCCAAGUCUACACCUAAGAGGAACACUAGGAGUAUUCCAGCCGAAGAGAAGAACAAGGCCCAGUGCCUCAAGCUGCUGAAGAAGAUGAAGAUUCACUUGUCUUGAGAAAGUUGAACCCCAAGAUUCCUGAUCAUAAUGAUGCUCAUCCAGUUGCAGAGGAUAUGAAGCUCGGGAAGGAUGCAGGUCUGAGACUGUGGAGACAGACUGGUCCCUAUGCUGUCAAAAGAAGAACUGUAGUGGACUACAAGUUCCACACUAAGGAACAACAAGAUUUCUAUGAGACAGUUUUGCUUGACAAGAAGCCCAUAGUAUGUGACAUGAGAUGGGUUGACUGGGAGUACAUCAGGAAGAAUGAAGAGCACUAUCCAGGAGUGUAUGACAGCUUCAAUGCUUGUGGAGUAGAUGACUUUGUUGGCCAGAAGCUCACCAAGUGAAAUGAUGAGCUCAUUAUGCAGUUUUACUCCACAGCUCAUUUCUUCCCAGAUGGGAAGAUAGUCUGGAUGUCUAAGGGUACUUGGUACCAAUCAACAGUUGAGGAAUGGGCUGAGUUGAUAAAUGCUCCAAAAGAGAAUGAGGAUGACAUGGGUGUCUAUGCCAAGAAGAAGAAAGACCACAACUCUAUGGCUCACAUGUACAGAGAGAUCCCAGAUGUUGCACUAGAGACACAUAAGUUUGGAUCUGUACAUUACCUGUUGUCGGGAUUGCCUACUAUCAAGUGGAUCUUAAGGCACACUUUGCUUCCCAAGUCAGGUGAUCACAAGAUGAUCAGAGGCCAUGCAAUUAACUUGCUGCAUAUAUUUGAUGUGCCUCAGAAAUUCAAAGUCAUGAGCCUGAUUGUGGAAACAAUCAAAAGGACUGCUGCUGAUCAGAAGAGAUCUUGUGGGUAUGCCCCACACAUUCAAGAGCUCAUAAACUCCAAAAUGGGCACAUGCACAUAUCUUUUGGACAAGGAACACCUGCCCAUCUACCCUGAUUUUGAGGACAACACCAUUGUGAUGGAUGAAAAUGAACCAUCAUUUGUGCAAGCACAAGAGAAGAAAGAGAAAGCAAGGGCUGAGAAAGUUGCUAAGAUGCCAACUGCUGAAGAGGCAUCUCAGAUUUUCCUGAGGAGCAAGCAAGAUCAGCUUGGCUACUUGAUUGCCUCCACCUUGAGGAUUGAGAAGGGCUUGGCCACCCUGACUCAAAACCAGGAGAGCUUGGAGAGAAAUAGAGUAGAAGUUUUAUGCUCUUGAUGUCAAAGUUACUGAGAUCCAAACUGCAGUUGAGCAAUUUUAGGAGGAUGUGGAGGAGAAGAAGGGCAAGUCUACCACAUAUGUUUUUGCUAGAGUGCCCAGAGGACAGAGAUCUAUUGUAGUGCAUGUUCCAGACACCAGAGCUACAUCAUCUGCACCAGAUACAGCUUCAGUGCCUCCAGCUCCAGCACCCACUCCACCAGCUCCAGCUACAUCAACAGAAGCCUUCGUCCUUGGAGCCAUCUCUACACCAUCACAUGAAGACCAAGCCUGAGAGUCGCUUAGCACUAUGCAUUUUUGUGAACUUUUUGGUAACUUGUUGCCAAAGGGGGAGAAAAAUGUAUAGAUCAUACGCUUCGAGAGAGAGUGUUGCUUUGAUCUCUCUUGUCUUUUAGGCGGUUGAACUUCGUUAUUCAUGUGUUUGCUUGUUUGCUUGAUACAUUAUGCCUUGUGUGAGAUUCUUGGACGAUCAUGUGAUUGAUCAUAUGCUAUGCUACAUUAAUGUUUGUUGGAUGGUAUUAUCUCUUAUAUCCUCAUAUGAUCAUUCACUUUGCUUGGUGAUGAGUGCAUGUAUUUAAUUAUUAUCAUUUUGAGCGCUCCACCAAGAUGUAUGUGACAUGGAAGAGUGACCCAUGAUCCUAACUCAUUGUGCAUUUGCAGUCCAAAGCAAAUUUUAAAUAAUGCACAAAUUUAGGGGGAGCUCUUACUACUCACAUACUUCUCAAAGCGACGAUGUUUUUCAAUCUUAUUAUCAUUUGUCGAAGCUUUGAUCUAUAUGUUGUCAUCAAUUACCAAAAAGGGGGAGAUUGAAAGUGCAACUAUCCCUGUGUGGUUUUGGUAAUUCCUAACAACAUAUAUCUCAUUGAGCUAAUGCUAUUUCAAGAUAAAUAUUUCAGGAAAGCUCAAUGAUUGGCAUGGCAUGGAUGAGAAAAGUGGAUCCUUCAAAAUGCUAAGGACAAAAGAAUUGGCUCAAUCUCAAAGCACAAGACUCUACAUUUUCUAUUUUAGUGAUCCAAGAUCACAUUGAGUCUAUAGGAAAAGCCAAUACUAUCAAGGAGGGAUGAGGUGUUGCUUAAUGGCUUUCUUGCUCAAAAUGCUUAGUGAUAUGCUCCAAAGCCCUCAAAUACUUUCUCACAUCCACAUAUGACCCAAACCAAAAGUCCAACUCAGCCUCACCAAUUCCUUCUAUCCGGCGCCACCGAGUUCAGAUGUCAUAGCCACUGCCACAAACCCUAAUCAAAUCGGUCUCACCGAUAGGGAUCUCGGUCUCACCGAGAUGGGAUUGUAAUCUCUCUGUUUCCCUCCAUAACAUUUCGGUCCAACCGAGAUGAGCGAUUGGUCCCACCGAGAUUGCAAUGCAAACUCUCUGUUUCCCUUUCAUAAUGUUUCGGACCAACCGAGAUGAGCGAAUCUGUCUCAUCGAGUUUGCCUGGCCAACCCUCUGUGUGUCCAUUACCAAAAUCGGUCUCACCGAGAUUACGUUAUGCCCUAACCCUAACCAUAUCGGUCCCACUGAGUUGAUAUGUCGGUCCCACCGAAAAUCCUAACAGUCACAUUAUUUGCUGAAUCGGUCCGACCGAGUUUGACGAUUCGGUCCCACCAAGAUUGGUAAGUUAUGUGUAACGGUUAGAUUUUGUGUGGAGGCUAUAUAUACCCCUCCACCCACUCUUCAUUCGUGGAGAGAGCCAUCGGAACAUGCCUACACUUCCAACCUACAUUUUCUAAGAGAGAACCACCUACACUUGUGUUGAGGUCAAGAUAUUCCAUUCCUACCAUAUGAAUCUUGAUCUCUAGCCUUCCCCAAGUUGCUUUCCACUCAAAUUUUCUUUCCACCAAAUACAAAUCCUGUGAUAGAGAGUUGAGUGUUGGGGAGACUAUCAUUUGAAGCACAAGAGCAAGGAGUUCAUCAUCAACACACCAUUUGUUACUUCUUGGAGAGUGGUAUCUCCUAGAUUGGCUAGGUGUCACUUGGGAGCCUCCGACAAGAUUGUGGAGUUGAACCAAGGAGUUUGUAAGGGCAAGGAGAUCGCCUACUUCAUGAAGAUCUACCCUAGUGAGGCAAGUCCUUCGUGGGCGACGGCCAUGGUGGGAUAGACAAGGUUGCUUCUUCGUGGACCCUUCAUGAGUGGAGCCCUCUGUGGACUCGCGCAGCCGUUACCCUUCAUGGGUUGAUGUCUCCAUCAACGUGGAUGUACGAUAGCACCACCUAUCGAAACCACCACAAAAACAUCUGUGUCUCCAAUUGUGUUUGCCUUCUCAAACUCCUCCCCUUUACCUUCAUAUGCAAUUGUUUUACAUUCCGCUACUAUACUCUUAGAAUUGCAUGUGUAGGUUGAUUGCUUGAAUUGUGCUAAGUUGCUAAAAUCUGCCAAGAACUAAAAUUGGGAAAAGGCUAGAUUUUUAUUUGGUCAAGUAGUCUAAUCACCCCCCCCCCUCUAGACAUAAUUUCGAUCCUACAGCUUCCAAGAAGCUUCUCUCCAAAUUGCACUAUAGAGGAAAAGCCUGUCCAGACCAGCUUCCCGCAACUUCACCAACUUCUCAUCCCUCCUGCAAAAUCCUGUCAUCCAACUUCACAUUAUUUAUAGUCAAAAUGUCACGGCCACAUAAAGAGACAACGCUUCACAAAUUUCUCUCGACUCUCACCCUGACCUCAUUUCCACCUCCUACCUUGUCGGGGCGAUGAACCCCGGGCAGGCAACGGAACCUGGAUCCUCUUCAAAAACAAUGGGGCCUGCAUCGCCCCUCAAAACUGGCACGCGCCUGGCCGGGUCGCUCGACGCGGCAAGGCUCGCAGCCCGGCCAACCCCUCCGACCCAGCAAGGUACGUCGACCCAGCCUCAGCAAUUGGCGCAAGGCGGCCGAAGCUGGCAUGACCAAGGCUUCCCCAACAAGCCGACCCUACCUGUGGCGUCCGCUGCAAUCCAGCCACAGGUCAAGCUCCCGUCCCAUCCAGGCCGUACGAUGGGAUGAGACGACAGUCACCGAUGACCAAGACAACAGUGUUUUCACCCAUGCCUAUGGUCAGACGGAACGGGGCAACAGUGCCCCUUACCUACCCGCUGACCAAGGCUGGCGUGGCAACAUUGCUUCCACCCUCACCGCUGACGAUAGCAAGCGGCAGCCUGAUGGAAAGCGCUAUACACGACUCAACUCGUCACACCCUGACGAUCGACAAGACGGUGCACAGUUCCCCUAGGCACACGGGGCCCGCGCCUAGGGGAACCCAGCGAACCACAAGCCCUCAAGCAGGACCCAGCCCAGGAUCCCGGACACUGCCAAUACGGACCCACUGACUCAGCAUAUUACCAUUGUAACCCUAGGUGGGUUGGUCUAUAAAACCCCCCAGGAACCCGCGCCUACGGGGGCAUAGGAUAUGGAAUAGAAGGCAACAGAAGAUACACAAGGCUUUCGGAAGAGCAAGAAAGCAUAGGACUAGCCACCAAGCCGCAACACCGGAGAGAAGGAGCAGCCUAAGCCUUGGCCAGCUUCCUUCCUCCUCAUACAGCUCCAGGAGCAAUAUUGUACUAUCGAUCAUCCAACUACACUCGGCAGGACUAGGGGUAUUAUCUCUCCGGAGAGCCCCGAACCUGGGUAUGUCUGGCGUCCCGCGCCCGCUCAUGCCAACCUCGCCUCUGGAGCCCACCAGCGCCCUCGAGCCUCCUCCUCUCUUUAUCCAUCCCUUGGCAUCUUCCGUGCACCCACCACGAUAGUUGGCGCCCACCAUGGGGCAGCUCGAGGAGCUGGCCGGGAGCAUGCUUCAGACGGGGCCCGUCUCCUACACCGAUGAGUCCGUCGCAUUGGCGGACAAUGUCGUCGGUGUGCUUGUCGCCUCCUUCGCUGCGCUGCGCAUCUCCGAUGCAUUCGCGGCCGACGAGUACCCUAGCAGGUGCUCAGCUACUCCGACUCUCCGCUCUCCCUCGGCGGUGGCAUUGCCGCCGGGGCAAUGGACAUCCAUGUGGAGGUUUACGUCACCGGCGACGGCGCCUCCUCCUCGUCGAGCAAGACGAGGAAGGCCGCAGAAGCCAGGGCUGCCGCAGAACGGACCGAGCCAUCUAAUCCACUGUGUGCCGUGAUGCAGAGCCUCCGCAUCCCCAUCGGCACGGACGUUGAUGCCACCAACGUUGUUGAGGCCCGAUCUCAGCUCGAAGAAAGGCGCCAGCAGAUGCUGGACCUGUCUGAGACGCUCGCUGCCACCAAGCGUCGCCUGGAGGCCGCUUAGAUGGAGCACGACGCCGCUCACGGAUUCGCGCCCGCAGCGGCCGAGCCAAGCCGGGUCGCUGAUGUAUGCACCCGGGGAGGAGCGAUCGGCCGGGCCCUCGCCACCGUUCGGACCGUCUACGAGACCCUAGUGAAGAACAAGCAUGCUGUGGAGGCAGCCGCGGUCGGCCUCGACCAGCUCACGGGUGAGGAGCUGAAAGAGCGCAUCGGGCGGAUGCGCGAGCUCCUCCACGCCGCCAACACCCAGCAGGAUCGCCUGCACCAGCUCGCCAAGCCGGCGGGGUCCGGCUCCGCCUGCCUUGCCGGUCCCGGCGAACUUCUGCACACGGCUUCCUCGCCGCCCGGCGAGGCGCACUCCGGCCAAAACCGGACUCGUCGCAACCCGGCCGCCACAGCCGCCGACAUCCUAGGCAACGAGCCCGCAGCGGAGACUCGGCGUGGACCCGGCCAGCCUGGCCGGCGUCCGGCUCCAACCGACCCAGCCCCUCGGGGCCUGGCCGCCAGUCGACUCGGCCCACGCGCCAUCAACGACGCCGAUGCUCGCCACCGCCUCGAUCAUCUUGCUCGCUCCCUGGAGGUGGAGGAGAGUGGUGCUAUCAGGCCGGCCUGCUUCGGCCCACGCAUCCGGGAGGAGCCCUUCCCCAAAGGGUUCAUGCUUCCCCGCGACACCCCCAAGUACAACGGAACCGUGAAGCCAGAAGACUGGCUCAUCGACUACACCACGUCCAUUGGCAUCACCAGUGCCAAUCGUUGUCUCGUUGUGUGCUACGCACCGCUCAUGCUCCAGGGGUCGGCUCGCACGUGGUUGAACAGUCUGCCGAAGGGAAGCAUCGAUGCGUGGGUCCACUUCGAGGAGGCCUUUGUCCGCAACUUCACGGGGAUCUACAAGCGACCCGGUCACUCCAGCCAGCUCGCCAUGUGUGUGCAGGGGCCGACGGAGACAGGUCGCGAGUACCUCGCACGCUGGACCGAGCUCUGAAAUAGCUGCGAGGGCGUCCAUGAAGUCCAGGCGAUCUAGUACUUUGUCAGGGGGUACCGAGAUGGCACCCUCCUCAAGCACAAGCUCUUGCGCUCCGAGCCGGCCACCAUGGCCGCGCUCAUGGUGACGGCAGACAAGUACGCCAACGCCGACUCCGCCAUGAAGAUCCAGGUGGCACUGGAUGAAGCCAGCAAGGUGAAGCCGGUUCCUCCCGCCGAAGCCGACCAGCGAAAGCAGCCGGCAGUAGCAUCACCAGACCAACAAGCGCAAGGCCGAGCAGCCAGCGCAGUGUCACGACAACCGGCUCGUCGCGGCUGCCGAGCCUGCGGCGGACCCGGCAGCGAAGCGCCGGCAGACCGGCAAGAUGGCGUAGCAACACGCCAUGAGUUUCGGGGAGAUGCUCGACACCCCAUGCAAGCACCACAGCAGCACAAGACCUUCCACGCACACGCUUCGGUAGUGCGCCAUCACGAAGCGCAUCAUGAGGGGAGACGUCCCACCUCCUCUGGGUCCGGCUCCAGCUCCAGGCGCAGGACAGCCGCCUCCGCCUCCACCGCCGCCUCCCGCGGGCGGCGCGAUCUGGAACGACGCCUACCCGGACCAGAACGCGGCCUAUGUCGUCUUCACCAGCCUUGGCGAUGACAAGCGCAGCGAGCGCCUCCUUCGGCAGGAGGUGAACACCGUCGUCCCGGCCAAGCCGGAGUUCAUGCAUUGGUCAGAUCGGCCGAUCACCUGGACCCGGGAGGAUCACCCCGCGGUCAUGCUGAGUCCCGGUGGAUACUCCCUCGUCCUCAACCCCACCAUCAUCACGCGGCGCACAUGCAAGUUCUCCUGAGUCCUCAUCGACAGCGGCAGCAGCAUCAACAUCCUCUACCGCGACACGAUGACCAAGCUCGGCCUCAAAGCCGAGGACCUGGAGCCAACCCAGACGAUCUUCCAUGGCAUUGUGCCCGGCCUCUCCUGCUCUCCCAUUGGCCGGGUCUAGCUCGAUGUCUUGUUCGGCGACAGCAGCCACUUCCGGCGCGAGCCGAUUUGGUUCGAGGUAGGGGACCGGUCCAGCGUGUAUCACGCGUUGUUGGGCCUGCCCGCGAUCGCCAAGUUCAUGGCGGUUCCCCACUACGCGUACCUGAAGAUGAAGAUGCCGGGUCCCAAGGGCCUGAUCAUGAUCAACAGCGAUUAUCGCAAGUCCGUGGAGUGCGCCUGAGAUGGCGCCAAGUUGGCCGAGGAGCUGGUCAUUGCCGAGGAGCGGCGCCAGCUCGACCGGAUCAUCGCCAUGGCGGGCGAGACCUCUGCCGCAUCGAUCCCGACCACGAACCCGGCCGACGAGGCUGCCUUCAAGCCCUCCAAGGAGACCAAGAAAGUGAAGCUCAACCCAGAAGACCCCAGCUGCAGCAAGUAUGUUGUCAUAGGCGCCCGCCUCGACAACAAAUAGGAAGGCGAGCUCAUCGACUUCGUCCAUGAGAAUCGGGAUAUCUUCGCAUGGACCCCAAAGGACAUGCCGGGUAUCCCGAGGAAGUACGCCAAGCACAAACUUCACGUCCAUAAGGAUGCCAAGCCUGUCCAUCAACCCCUAUGACAAUUUUCCGAAGAGAAGAGAAGAACCAUUGGUGAAGAGGUCGCCAAGCUUUUGUCGGCCGGCUUCAUAAUGGAAGUGUUUCACCCCGAGUGGCUGGCCAAUCCAGUCCUUGUCUUGAAGAAGAACAAGACCUGGCGCAUGUGUAUCGACUACACAAGCCUCAACAAGGCCUGUCCCAAGGAUUCGUUCGCUCUCCCGCGAAUCGACCAAGUCAUCGACUCGACUGCCGGGUGCGAGCUCCUGUCCUUCCUGGAUGCUUACUCUGGCUACCACUAGAUCAAGUUGGACCCAGCCGAUGCCCUGAAGACGUCCUUCAUCACGCCCUUUGGGGCGUAUUGCUACAUCACCAUGUCGUUCGGCUUGAAGAACGUCGGCGCCACCUUCCAACACUGCAUGCAGAAAUGCCUGCUACCGCAACUCGGCCGCAAUAUCCACGUGUACGUGGAUGACAUCGUGGUGAAGACCAAGCAACACCUCAUGCUCCUCGACGAUUUGAAGGAAACAUUCGCCAACCUCCAUGAAUACAAGGUCAAGCUUAACCCGGAAAAAUGCGUCUUCGGCGUCCCGGCCGGAAAGCUACUUGGCUUCCUCGUCUCGGAACGCGGCAUUGAGGCGAACCCGGAGAAGAUCAAGGCCAUCGAGCGCAUGCGCAAGCCGGCUAGGCUGCACGACGUCCAGAAGUUCACCAGGUGCUUGGCCUCGGUCAACCGGUUUCUAAGCCGGCUGGGCGAGAGGGCGCUCCCCCUAUACCAGCUGAUGAAGAAGACGAGUCCGUUCGAGUGGAACGGCAAGGCAGACGAGGCCUUCCAAGACCUCAAGCACAUGCUCUCCACCGCGCCAGUCCUGACCGCACCGACCGACAAGGAGCCGUUGUUGCUCUACAUAGCUGCGACCUCGUGGGCGGUCAGCAUGGUGCUGGUGGUCGAGCGACUAGAAAAGGGCAAGAUCCAAGCCGUCCAGCGCCCAGUCUACUACCUGAGCGAGGUGCUCUCCAUCUCCAAGCAGAACUACCCGCACUACCAGAAGAUGUGUUACGGCGUGUACCUCACUGCCAAGAAGCUGAAGUAGUACUUCCAAGAGCAUGUCAUCACCAUUGUCAGCACGACGCCUGUCAGAGAAAUCAUCGGGUGCCGGGACGCCUCUGGCCGGGUCGCCAAGUGGGCGAUCCAGCUAUCCGGCCACACCAUCCUCUACGAGCCCCGCACCAUGAUCAAGUCUCAAGCCCUGGCCGACUUCCUCGUCGACUGGACCGAGAACCAGUACUUGCCGCCACCUUCCGACUCGAUGCAUUGGUGCAUGCACUUCAACGGGUCCAAGAUGCGACUCGGCUUAGGGGUCGGCAUCGUACUACCGUCCCCGAAGGGCGACCGGCUCCGCUACGCACUCUAGAUCCACUUCGCCGCCUCCAACAAUGUCGCCGAGUAUGAAGCCCUUGUGCACGGCCUCCGGCUUGCCAAGGAACUCGGCAUCUGGCCCAUCCUGUGCUACGGCGACUCGGACCUGGUGGUGCAGCAGUGCUCUGGCGAGUGGGACGCCCGCGACUCAAACAUGGUAAGCUAUCGCUUCCUCGUCCAGAAGCUGUCCGGAUCCUUCGAGGGCUGCGAGUUUCUCCAUGUCCCGCGCGCGAAAAACGAAGCAGCCGACACGCUCGCCAAGAUCGCCUCAUCACGACAAGCCAUCCCUUCGGCGUCUCCCUCGAGAACCUCCACAAGCCAUCCGUCAAGCCAUCGACGGACUCCGAGUCCAUUCACGUUCUAGACGAUCGGCCGCACCACAAUCUGGCCCAGGGACUGCCGAACCCGGCCCAGGGACUGCUAAACCCGGCCCGGGGGCUGUUCAGCUCAACCUGGCCACCAUCAACCCGGACCCGACCGUCGCCAACUCCAACCCGGGGGCUGCUCAACCCGGCUCGGGGGCUGCCGACUCGGAACCCACCCUGGUGGCCAUCUUCGCCGUAGUGGCAGCCCCAUCCUGGGCCCUCCCAAUAUCAGAAUUUCUGGAGAACGGGGUCCUCCCCAUGGACGAGACCGAGGCUUGGCAAGUACAGCGCCGGACGUCCGCCUACAGCAUCAUCAACAAUGAGCUCACCAAGCGCAGCCCCACCGGCGUGUUCCAGCGCUGCAUCGAACAGGAUCGGGGCAUCGACAUCCUCCUCGACAUCCACCAGGGCGAGUGCGGGCACCACACCGCAUUGCGUUCCCUGGUGGCCAAGGCAUUCCACCACAGUUUCUACUGGCCCAUGGCCCUCGAGGACGCCGAGUCGCUUGUCCUCAAGUGUGAGGGAUGUCAGCGCUUCAGCAAAUGCAGCCACCAGCCGACAUCAGCACUCCGCACCAUACCAUCGCCUGGCCCUUCGCGGUCUGGGGACUCGACAUGGUGGGACCCUUCAAAACCGCUCGAGGCGGCAUGACGCACCUGCUAGUGGCAGUGGACAAAUUCACCAAGUGGAUCGAGGCAAGAGCAAUCAAGAAACUGGACGGGCCAACAACCAUCCAGUUCAUCAAGGACAUAGCGGUACGCUACGGCAUGCUGAACAGCAUCAUCACCGACAACGGGCACCAACUUCGCCAAGGGCGCGUGUCGGUGUCAAAACCGGCGGAUCUCGGGUAGGGGGUCCCGAACUGUGCGUCUAGGCGGAUGGUAACAAGAGACAAGGGACACGAUGUUUUUACCCAGGUUCGGGCCCUCUCGAUGGAGGUAAAACCAUACUCCUUCUUGAUUAAUAUUGAUGAUAUGGGUAGUACAAGAGUAGAUCUACCACGAGAUCAGAGAGGCUAAACCCUAGAAGCUAGCCUAUGGUAUGAUUGUUGUUCGUCCUACAGACUAAAACUCUCCGGUUUAUAUAGACACCGGAGAUGGCUAGGGUUACACAGAGUCAGUUACAAUGGGAGGAGAUCUACAUAUCUUAUCGCCAAGCUUGCCUUCCACGCCAAGGAAAUCCCAUCCGGACAUGGGACGAAGUCUUCAAUCUUGUAUCUUCAUAGUCCGGGAGUCCGGCCAAAGGUCAUAGUCCGGCCAUCCGGACACCCCCUAAUCCAGGACUCCCUCAGUAGCCCCUGAACUAGGCUUCAAUGACGACGAGUCCGGCGCGCAAAUUGUCUUCGGCAUUGCAAGGUGGGUUCCCCCUCCGAAUACUUCAUAGAAGAUGUUGAACACGAGGAUAGUGUCCUGCUCUGCAAAAUAAUUUCCACAUACCACCGUAGAGAGAAUAAUAUUCGCGCAAAUCUAAUUUGCUGACGUAUUCUGUAGCGUGACAUCAUGUCACAAUCAAGCCUUUAUUCGAGUCGUUUUACUGUCCCACCUCAGUGUGUUUAGCGAGGCGGUUUCCUUGGCACGUCUUGUCAAAGCAGAGAUCGUGUCCCCUUAUUCCGGGAUUCUCAUCAAUACGGGUGUGGGUAACCCAACCGCGCCAUUAAUCAUGGCGCUUGGGAGAUAAGCGAGUUUUGCUAGGCUGGUGGGGGCACAUAGUUUCGGCCGCCCAUAUAAGGGGAUAAGGAUCCACCCUUUCCAUCUACGCCUUCCUCUUCCUUCGCUUAUCCAUUGCUGCGCAGUCGAGCUCCAGCGCCCAAGUCCGCACUUCCCACCUCAACCUUCUCCAAUCAUGUCCGGAGCAGGAGGUAGGUGGAUGGCCUCCUCCAUCACGGAGGGGCAAAUCAAAAAGCUGAGGAAAGCCGGAUACUUGUCCAACGACAUCACGCACCGGCUCCCAGAUGAGGGGCAGCUCAUCCCCACCCCCAGGCCCCAUGAGAGGGUCGUGUUUCUCCCCCAUUUCCUCCGCAGACUGGGCUUUCCUCUUCACCCAUUUGUCCGGGGGCUCAUGUUCUAAUACGGCCUGGAUUUCCACGACCUGGCCCCGAACUUCAUCCUCAACAUCUCGGCGUUUAUCGUCGUGUGCGAGGUCUUCCUCAACAUCCAGCCCCACUUAGGCUUAUGGCUGAAGACCUUCAAUGUCAAGCCGAAGGUUGUGGGCGGCCGAUAAGCGGAGUGCGGAGGCGCCAUGGUGGUCAAGAUGGCCAACAUCACAUGGCUUGAGGGCUCCUUUGUGGAAACCAUCAAAGGGUGGCAAUCGGGGUGGUUCUACAUCACUGAGCCGCGUGACCCUGAAUGGGCAGCGGCCCCCGAGUUCCGACCUGGCAUCCCCACGCGGCUCACCUCAUGGAAAGAGACAGGCCUGUCGUGGGGUAAUCCGGAAGAGGCGGCCGGACUCCAAACCUGCGUCUAGAACCUGAUGGACAAGAAGGUUAAACUCGUCAACAUAGUUCAGGUCAUGCUCUUCCGCCGGAUCCUCCGUGUCAAUGGCGGGCUUUUAAUCUAUGGGAAUUUGACCCGGCCCAGCACCAAACUCUGUCCAGGCUCUUCGACACAACGCAUGAAGAUUCUUGGAAGGUGCUUUUCAAGAGCUCCGAGGUUCACCCUCCCACUACCGAGGAUCGCGGAUUCUGCGCGAAGCGCCAAGCCAGCACGGUAAGAUUAGUUUACCCAUUACAGGGAACUUGUUUUUCAUAGUUUGACUCUAUGCGGGAUCUAAGCUCCCAUUCCUUUAACAGGACUGGCAGAAGAAGGCCGGACAGAUCAACUGUCCGGCUCCCUUGCCCGAAGGCCCAGCAGACGCACGCUUGAUGAAGCUGCUGGUCCCGGCACCCCACGUGGUGCCGGAGAAGAAGGCCAAGAAGAAGGCCACGGGAACUCGAAGGAGCUCCCGGCAACUGGUGGUGUCGGACUCAUCGCCCGACGACCCCAAAGCGCACUCCUCCUCCGAAGACGAGGAGGAGGAAGAAGAAGCCUCUCCCCCUCCAGCGGGGGGGGGGGGGAAGAAAAGGAAGGCUGCCCCAACUGGGGAGGCCGGAGGGUCCAAGAAGGGGAAGACCCUUCUCCCGGACUACGCCUCCCACGCCGAAGACGGCAGAGAGGAGUGGCCAUCCAGGGCCAAGCCCCUAGCAAAAUCGUAAGUAUCCGGAUACCAGAAUAACUCACGGUAUUCCUUUAUUGCAUAGUACCUUCUAACGCCAAAUAUAAUCAUGCAGUCCGCCCAAGGCUCAGCUCGAUGAUUCGUCGAGUGGCUCCCUGGACUCGUCGGAUAUGAAUAGUCUUUCACUCCCGACGGCUUCCUCCCCUUGCCCUACGGACGAAGCCGAGGUGGAGUCCCAAAAGGGGCUGAGCCAGGAGGAGGUGGUCCUGGAGGCGCAGCAAGGCGACCUCCCAGACUCCAGGCCCAAAGGGGAUAAAACCCCGGAGGGAUCUAAGUCCGGCCCUGGGCCGGACACCGCACCGGAACCUUUAGUGGUUCUGGAGUUCGGCAGGCGGCCCCUUUGCAAGAAGGGCAAGCAUACGACACCUGCGGCCUCCGUCCAACCAGAGGCGCCGGACAAUUUGCUGGAGGUGCUUAACAGCGCCUCCAUCGAUGAGGAGCACCGCACUGUUAUGAGUGCGGUGAUCGAGAAGGUUCAGUCCGCCAAGAGCGGGCUGACAGAAGCAUGUGCCAGCCUUCUAACAGGCUUUGAGGUAUGUAUUUAAAACAUGUAAAAAUGUUAGCGCAUAGACAGUAGCCUCUGAUGCUCAGUUUGGUGUUCGGAAAGAAAAACCAGACUGAGGAUCCAAAAAGAUAUACGCAAGAGUCUAACAUAAAAAUGUCAAUAUGGGGAUGCAGGCUGCGCUGCUGACCUCUACCGCACUGACUGCGAAGGUCGAUGCAUUGAAGCAGAGCCUCGAGCAGUCCAAGAACGAGCUCGGCCUUGCAAAGAAGCGGCUCGAGGACAUGGAAGGCAGGUAGUACCUUAUGUAAGGGUAUAUAAAAAUACAUGGUUGCAAAUAGUGACAGGACCAAUGUGAAUGUGACAGGGGCCACAACCGAGGUGGCGACCCUGAAGGAAGCGUUGUCCAAGGCCGAAGAUAAUGCGGCCAUGGAGCGCACCGAGCGAGAGAAACAAGAGGCGCGGGUGGCGGAGGUGCGGCAAGAACUCAAUGCUCUCGUGAAGAAACACGAGAGUUUAGAGCUUGACUCAAAGACGCGAGAGUCCGAGCUUGCCUCGGCACUUGAAAGUGCCAAAUCUGCCAAAGCCGAAUCCCAAAAAGCCCUCCAGGAGAUUGAGGCGAUGAAAAAGAUAGCGGCGGGUAAGGCAUUCUUUAUGCAAAGCAAGCAUGUGAAAGUGAAUUACAUGUUACUUACCCGAAUCCGGAGCUCUCCAGGAGCAUUCGCAGAUCUGCCCCGCAGUGUGUCCAACGCUGUCGCAUUCUACCGAGCCAAAGAAGGGAGCUCAACGGAGAAGGCGUUCUGGUCCCAGUAUGCUGAGGCCGGACACCCAGUGCCCUUGAGCGACCAGCUGAAGCAACUGGUCGAGCUCCAUAAGGUGGCCGAAUAGGCCAUGAAGGGCCUUAUAGGCCGGCUGUGGCCUGGGGAGGUCCUGCCUGAGAGCUACUUCGGGCUGGUGAGGCGGCUGGUGGAUGCGUGUCCGCGGCUUGAAGUCAUCAAGCGCUCUGUAUGCAUCGAAGGCACCCGUAGGGCUCUUGCCCGUCCUAAAGUGCACUCGGGCAAGCUAGAUGCUGAGAAGCUAGUGACAGAAGGGCCACCGGAGGGGAAGGAGCAUCGCAGGCCCGAGAUGUAUUAUGAGGGCAUCCUGAAGGGUGCCCGCCUUGUGGUGAAUGAAUGUACUAGGGAUGUAAUUUUUGAGUAAACUCGCUCGUGUUUAUCCUGUGCGCUGAAAACUUGUUCAUAUGCGCUAAGCAACACUUUUUGAAUUAAAAUAUUACCUUCUGUGCGGCCAUUUAUUAAAUCUAAGAGAUGCAAGUCGUCGGCUCUACCCCCAUGCCGCGAGUGCUGGGGUGUUCGGGAUAAACCUGAGCGCUCUUGUUCCCAUUCUUGGGUCCUUCGAGGGAGGUGCUCAGCACAACGGACAAGGCAAUCGGACUUAUAAUGCUUUAUCACUCGCACUUAGCCAUAGAAUUCUAUAAUUUUAAAUUUCGGCGAAGCCCCUAGUACUCAGAAGACCGAGUUCGGGGCGCUAUCCACGCCUAGGCCGGACAAAGCCAGCUCCUCGCUCUAAGCGGCAUAAGUCUUUAAGGACUCGAAAAACCUCGUGAACAGCGAUUCGGUCUCGCCCUAUCAUGACGGUCAGUUUUAGCUUUCUCUACUGAGGUGUUAACCCAGCUCAACUGGGGCACAAUCGCAGUAGUUCUCCCAGUGCUACCUUAGCCGAUAUAGCGGAACAUAAGGUACCAAAACAUGGGAGCCGGGCAAACCCAACUAUUGACCCAAGACAUGAUUCAGAGCCGAUGCAUAUAAUGCUAUAAGUUAGGGGUGCCGCACUCAUGAGAGUGUUCGGUCUUCUCACACCGUAUUCUGGAGUAAUUAAGCCCCUGGUGUAUUGGCUGUACCAAAGUGUACGGUUGCAUAAUGUCAUAACUGAACAUAUGUAAAAAAUAAAUGCAAUAAUAGACAAGAGUUGUAUAUUGUUUAUUAAAGGGCUGCUAUGAGAGCAGAACGAUACAAAUAGUGCGAUGAGCAAGAGAUGGGAUUAUUUGACAUGUCCCCCUCCCGGGGCAAGCUGCAAGACUUUAAGUAAGACAGGUAUUUAGCUCGUUAUAGAGAGCACCUGGACAUUCGACGUGGCUUGUUGUCUCCCUGGCUGUUGCAUCGUGUGUUCGGCGGUUGUACUGCCGGACAGGUCUUCCGAAUAGUGGAGUCCUGAAAGUAAAAAAAAGAAAAAUCACAAAAUCGGGAGCCCCUAGUGCGGUUGAGCCGCAUUCUGGGCAUGCCGUGGUUGUGCCCCUCCCCUUAUGCCCAUGGUAUUUCCAGAGCGUAAUUAUGUAUGCGUGGUAUUGGUUUUGCAAGUUUGUGAGGGCUGGGGUUGGGGCCGCACUGCUAUGCUAGCUCGGAACGUGCCAGACGAUCUCGUUGUAGGUUACUCAGGGCGCGCUUGACGGUGUCCGGCCGCUGAACAGCCGGACUGGAGAAUUGCCUUGAGAGGCUACUUUGUACUUCCGCCGCGAGGGCCGCCAUGUGCUCCUCUGUUCGGAGAGAGCAUUCGGUGUUUCCAUUGACCGUGAUGACUCCUUGAGGGCCUGGCAUCUUGAUCUUGAGAUAUGCGUAGUGUGGCACCGCAUUGAACUUUGCAAAUGUGGUUCGCCCGAGUAGGGCGUGAUAGCCACUGCAGAACGGGACUAUGUCGAAGAUUAACUCCUCGCUUCGGAAAUUAUCCGGGGAUCCGAAGACCACUUCGAGUGUAACUGAGCCUGUACAGCUGGCCUCUACACUUGGUAUGAUGCCUUUAAAGGUCGUCUUUGUGGGUUUAAUCCUUAAGGGAUCUAUGCCCAUUUUCCACAUUGUAUCCUGAUAAAGCAGGUUCGGGUUGCUUCCGCCAUCCAUGAGGACUCUAGUGAGGUGAAAUCCGUCAAUGAUUGGGUUUAGGACCAAUGCGGCGAAUCCGCCGUGACGAAUGCUAGUGGGGUGGUCCCUUCGAUCAAAAGUGAUCGGGCAGGAGGACCAUGGGUUGAACUUUGGGGCGAAUGGCUCCAACGCAUAUGCGUCCCUGAGCGCACGCUUCCGUUCCCUCUAGGGGAUGUGGGUUGCAUAUAUCAUGUUCACUGUCCGCACUUGUGGGGGAAAGCCCUUCUGUCCUUUGUUGUUCGGUGGCCGGGGCUCCUCCUCGUCAUCGCUAUGCAGCCCCUUGUCUCUGUUUUUGGCACUUAACUUGCCUGCCUGCUUGAACACCCAACAAUCCCUGUUGGUGUGAUUGGUCGGUUGUUCGGGGGUGCCGUGUAUCUGGCACGAGCGAUCGAGUAUCCGGUCUAAACUGGACGGGCCCGGAGUAUUUCUUUUGAAUGGCUUUUUCCGAUGACCGGGUAUAAAACCUCUGAAUCCGGCAUUAACUGUCGUAUCCUCAGUAUUGUCGCCGUUAAUGCGGCGUUUGUUCUUGUUGCGACGCGACCUGCCAUUGUUGUCCUUGGUAUCUGAAUUACCAGGGCUCUUGGUCAUGUUAUUGCUAUGAGCUAGCCAGCUGUCUUCUCCCGCGCAAAAGCGGGUCAUGAGUGUCGUAAGGGCUGCCAUGGAUUUCGGCUUUUCCUGUCCUAGGUGCCGGGCAAGCCAUUCGUCUCGGAUGUUAUGCUUGAAGGCUGCGAGGGCCUCUGCGUCCGGACAGUCGACUAUUUGAUUUUUCUUGGUUAGGAACCGUGUCCAGAAUUGUCUGGACGAUUCCUCUGGCUGCUGAAUUAUGUGGCUUAGGUCAUCGGCGUCUGGUGGUCGCACAUAGGUGCCCUAGAAAUUGUCAAGGAAUGCGGAUUCCAGGUCCUCCCAUCAACCAAUUGACUCUGCUGGCAAGCUGUUAAGCCAAUGCCGAGCCGGUCCUUUAAGCUUGAGUGGGAGGUAUUUGAUAGCGUGUAGAUCAUCACCACGGGCCAUGUGGAUAUGAAGGAGAUAAUCCUCGAUCCAUACCGCAGGAUCUGUUGUGCCAUCGUAUGAUUCGAUGUUUACGGGUUUAAAACCCUCGGGGAUUUGAUGAUCCAUUACUUCAUCUGUGAAGCAUGGUGGCUGUGCGGCGCCUCUGUACUGGGCUAUAUCACGACGUAGCUCGGAUGAGCUUUGUCUGUUGUGUUCGGCCUGGCCGUAUUUGCCAUAUCCAGCGUGACGGUUAUCGUCACGUGUCGUGGGGCGCCCACGCGAUCCGUAGAUCAAUCUUGUUUGCCUUGCCUUGUCCUCCAAUAUGUCUUGCAGGUCUGGCGCGUUUCCCCGUGCCUUGGUACUUUUUGAGCGGCGUCGGGGUGUGGCUUGAGUUGAUGGCCGAAAGGCCUCUCUGUCGCGGCCACGGGGUGGCCGAUCGGCCGCAUCAUACGCUGGUGAUGUAGGUUUAGUUGCUUCCUCCUCUAGUUGGGGUAGCAGCCUGCGCUUUGGGUAGCUCUUGGAGGGGCGUUCGAGUUUUACUCUUCGGCAGCGAGGACUUCAGUCCAUCUGUCGGCUAGCAAGUCUUGGUCAGUUCUAAGCUGUUGAUGUUUUCUCUUGACGCUGCUUGCCGUGGCCAUGAGCCUGCAUUUGAAAUGCUCUUGUUCGACGGGGUCCUCAGGCACGACAAAUUCGUCGUCGCUGAGGCUUGCUUCGUCUUUGGAGGGAGGCAUGUAAUUAUCGUCCUCGACCUCUCUGUCUGCCGCUCUCUCAUGAGGGUUGGCUUCUCCAUCCUCCUACGCUGAAUCCUGCUGGAGGGGGUUGUCUUCGGCAUUGUCCAGGUGUUAUUGUCUCCGGUACCGGACUCACCGUUUUUGCUUUGGCGGGAUUUAGAGCGGCGCUGCUGACGCCGGCGCUUAGGCUGUUUCUUGGAGGGUUCAUCCUCCGUUGUUCCAUCGCCAUCCCCUUCUUUUGGGGUGUCCACCAUGUAUAUGUCAUAUGACGAGGUGGCUUUCCAGUGCCCUAUAGGCGCUGGUUCUUGGUCGUCUCCUUCAUCGGCGACCAUUCCGUCGAUGUCUUCGGAGUUGAAGUCGAGCAUGUCGGUUAAAUCGUCGACAGUGGCUACGAAGUGGGUGGUGGGUGGGUUUCGUAUUUCUUCGUCGUCCGCAUCCCAACCUUGCUGACCAUAGUCCGGCCAGGGCUCUCCUGAUAAAGAGAGAGACUUUAGUGAAUUCAGGAUGUCACCAAAGGGCGAGUGUUGAAAGAUGUCUGCGGCGGUGAACUCCAUGAUCGGAGCCCAAUUGGGUUCGAUCGGGAGGGGUGCGGAAGAUUCAGAGUGCGGAACGGAGUCCGGCACCUUGGAGUCAUGAGCUCCGUGAAGGACAAGAUUGGUGUUCGGCUCGAUCGCUGUAGAGAUUGCAGCCCCGAGGCGGCGUCUAGCCACCUGUCCUCGAUCGGCGCAGUCGGCUCCGAGCUAAGGGUCAAAGCAGACACCUGAGCGGCGCUCUGGGCACUGUCCGGCGGCAGAGCUAGAUCAUGCCCAUCGUGACAGUGCGGCGCGCUCGGUUGUGGCUCGAAUCCGUCAAAGAUCAAGUCUCCGCGGAUGUCAGCCGUGUAGUUUAAACUUCCAAAUCUGACCUGAUGGCCAGGGGCGUAGCUUUCAAUCUGCUCUAGAUGGCCAAGUGAAUUGGGCCGCAAUGCAAAGCCGCCGAAUACGAAGAUCUGUCCAGGGAGAAAAGUCUCACCCUGGACCGCGUCGUGGUUGAUGAUCGAAGAAGCCAUCGGGCAUAAAGGUGACGACACAGAGGAACUCUCAAUGAAAGCACCAAUGUCGGUGUCAAAACCGGCGGAUCUCAGGUAGGGGGUCCCGAACUGUGCGUCUAGGCGGAUGGUAACAGGAGACAAGGGACACGGUGUUUUUACCCAGGUUCGGGCCCUCUCAGUGGAGGUAAAACCCUACUCCUGCUUGAUUAAUAUUGAUGAUAUGGGUAGUACAACAGUAGAUCUACCACGAGAUCGGAGAGGCUAAACCCUAGAAGCUAGCCUAUGGUAUGAUUGUUGUUCGUCCUACGGACUAAAACUCUCUGGUUUAUAUAGACACCGGAGAGGGCUAGGGUUACACAGAGUCGGUUACAAUGGGAGGAGAUCCACAUAUCUUAUCGCCAAGCUUGCCUUCCACGCCAAGUAAAGUCCCAUCCGGAUACGGACGAAGUCUUCAAUCUUGUAUCUUCAUAGUCCGGGAGUCCGGCCAAAGGUCAUAGUCCGGCCAUCCGGACACCCCCUAAUCCAGGAUUCCCUCGGCGCGCUCGAGAAAUACUGCUCUGUCUCCAGCAUCCGCCUCGACCUGGCCUCCGUUGCGCAUCCGCAGUCCAACGGGCAGGUCGAGCAAGCCAAUGGACUCAUCCUGUCCGGCAUCAAGCCGCGACUCAUCGAGCCACUCAUCCGCUCACCCGACAGCUGGCUCGAUGAGUUGUCGGCCGUUCUCUGGAGUCUCCGCACCACGUCGAAUCGGUCGACCGGGUUCACCCCGUUCUUCCUCGUCUAUGGAGCCAAAGCCAUCAUCCCGACCGACGUCGAGUUCGACUCGCCGUGCGUCGCAAUGUACACCGAAGCUGAAGCCAGAGAAGCCUGCGAAGAUGGCGUUGACCUGCUUGAAGAAGCACAUCUCCUGGCGCUCAGCCGCUCGGCCAUCUACCAGCAAGGUCUGAGGCACUACCACAGCAAGAAGAUCAAGCCUCUCGCGUUCCGCGAGGGCGACCUCGUCCUCCGCCUCGUCCAAGAGCAGGCAGGCCAGCACAAGUUGUCCCCUCCGUGGGAGGGCCCAUUCAUCAUGAGCAGGGCCUUGCGCGAUCGCAACGCCUACUACCUCAUCGAUGCACGCAAGUCAAAGAAGUGCACGAAGGACACCGCCGGUGAAGAAAUGACACGGCCAUGGAACGCGGGACUCCUUCGCCCGUUUUACAGUUAGCCGCACGAGUGUAUGUACCGUCGCCUUUUGGAAACGCAUGAAACUAUGGGUUCCCCGAAAGAAUCUCGGGGGCUACCUUUUGCCAACCAAUUUAUUGCGUCCUUAUUUUUUCUGCAUCACUAUACCACUGAACCUGGCCGCCGGUCCGACUCGCUCGACCUGGGGGCUCGGGGGUUGGCCGGCUUGAUAGCCACCCCGCCGCCUUACUUGGUGAUUUCUGAUAAAAGUCAGAAUGCCGCGGUCCUUCACUUCGCCCUAAAGCCACAGUUCCAGCUUUGGCUGUCGGCUGGCAAGCACGACGGGCCAAAGCUCCUGUACGUUUCAUACACUAAGUCAAAGGCUGCCAGGUCGAUCAACCCGGCCCGCCACUCACCAAAUGAACAGCUGCAUGACCGACUGCUCGCCAACCGGCUUUGCUGGAUUGCCGCCAGCCGGCCCAGUGGGUGUUUCGCUCGCACUCAACGUUUCCAAAGACCCAAGUAUUGCGCGCCCCCUUUCAAAAAUUGAACUCCUUGUCACGGAUCGGAGCCUCGGCCGUCUGACUCGGGGGGGGGGGAGGUUUAAGAAAGGAAAAAGCAUGAAAUCGGUCAGAAAAACAGACGGCAAAAAACCAAAGACACUCACAAUAUUUACACAUAGAUAUUUAAACAAAAGGCCCACGGCCGAAGUUCAUUACACCCUAAAAAACCCUAGUGGGUGGGUGGAACUGCUACUUAACAGAUUCUGCAUAAAGUGUCUCAGGCAUCUCCAGCGCCGCGUCGCGACGUCGACGGCUCUCCCCUGGCGGCCUCCGGGUCCGGCGAGACACCGGUGUCCUCCUCGGCAUCCGUGUCGCUGAAGACGCCGUUCUCCUCCGAGCUCCCCUCCGGAUCAUGGAGAAGCAAGCCAUAGUCAUUGCCAUCCACGGCCUUGUCGUCUUCCGUCCGCUCUGGAUGGAACUCGUCGUGGAAGGCGAACUCGGCGAUGUAACUCGCCCGGGAGGCAAUCCGGCUGGCCUGCUCCUGCAGAAACUACUCCGAGCCGGCCCGCUGGCCCAUUAGCGCGUCCAGCUGAAGAUCCGGAUGCCAAGACAGCGCAAACCGGAGCGCCAUCUUGGCACCGGCACGAGCGGCGGAGACGCGCCACUCGCCAAGACGGUCCGGACCCGUUUCCAGCCAGCACGCCAGGCGCGUGAAGCUGCUCAGCACGACGGCGCCCGGCCAAAGGGUCGUCGUCAUCACGGUGCCGGCCUGGGACAACCGCUCCAUCUGCGUCCCCAGGACCCGCAGGCGGGCCUCAGCAGCAGCGAUGAUCUCCGGGAAGGUCCAGGCCAUCCGCGGAUGCGUCCCAGACCCAACAACACCGGUCGAGUCGCGCUGAUAGUGGAUGGCUUCCUCCGCCAGCCACUGCGUCUCCGGGAAGGCCCCUGCCGCAAAGGAAGAAGCAAGUUAGAAGAACGACAAGGAAGAAAAGUCGGGUCCCGACUCGGCAAGCUACAAGAAGCAGCACUUACUGGAAAAGGACUCUUCCAGGUGAUGUGCCUCAAGCAACGUACCACGCCACUCCCGCUCCAUGGCGCGGUCGCGCUCCGCGAGCACCUUCUUCAGAGUAGCCGCCUUGGUAAGGGCCUCCUUCAGCUCGGUGUCCUUGUCUUCGGCUGCCUUCUCGGCUGCCUCACGGCGGCGGGCUUCGUCCUCGCGAGCCCUCUCGGCCGUGGUGACCUACCCCCGCAGGCGUUCCACCUCGGCCUGGAGCUGGCCCUUGUCAUCUGCCAGCUGGCCGCGCUGCUGGUCCGCCUCCACCAGGGCCCGCUGUGCCUCCACGACCUUGGCGGCUUCCGCCUUGAGAAGCUCCACCUUAGCCUCGAGGCGGCUCUUGUGACCUGCCAGCUGCUCAUCCAGCUGGUUGGCCUCGUCAAGAGACCGCUGUGCCGCGGCCGCCUCCACCCUCGCCUACGCCGCCUCGACGCCAAGUCGGCCGGUGUCGGCAAUAAGCCGGUCGUAAUGAUGACCGGCCCGGAGCAGCUGGGUCUGCCAGGACAGCACCUCAGCUGUGAAAAAGAAGGAAUCGGCAGAAGAAAAGAACAAGACAUAAGAUUUGGCCCAAUUGUUACACAAUUGGCCUGAAUCUCGGGGGCUACACCCAGUGGGUGCGCUAGCGCGCCCCCACUAAAAAAUAGCACAAGAGUACCUGCGGCGACACGGAGCUCCUCCUCCUUGGCGACAAGCUGCUCCACGAGCUCCCGGUGCUUGCCCAGGAGACGGUUGUAGGCGGCAACCCGGAAGGCGUCAAGAUGCUGAAGAAAUCAGAAGUCAAAAACAAGGCCAACGCUCUAGAAGAUUCGACCCAACUACUACGUAGUUGGCCCGGAUCUCGGGGGCUACACCCAUUAGGUGCGCUGGCGCGCCCCCACAAAGAAGAAAUUUCAAGGAAGCAAAAAGACUCACUAGCACGACGCGCUCCAGGUCGCGCGUCCGCUCCACCUCGGCAUGGGCGAAGGCCUCAAGCCGCUCCGUCCGACCCCACAGGCGGCGGCUGAUGGCGUCCAGCGCCGCGUCCUACUGGGUCUGGGGCCCGAAGAUAGUGGUGCCCCCGCUCCGUGCCGGCUGCGGCACGGCGGCUCGGCGCCCCCCCCCCCCCUGCCGGGGCACCAAGGCAUGCCCCGCUGGCCUCUUGUGAUGCGGCCAGCACCUCCUCCGACGCCCCUCCUGGCACCGAAGAUGACCCGGACGCCGGGACCCCCUGCGUCACCACCACCGGCCCAGCUGCCGGGGUGGCCUCCGGCACCGCCGCCUGUGGUACCUCCUCUGUAUCUAGCGGCACCACCGGUGCCGCCGCCUGCAGCGUCUGUUCCAAGACGACGCCGCUCCCACCACCAUCAACCCCCGCGCGCUCGACCACGUCGGCCUGCGGCGGGGUAUCGCUCCCCACCUCCACGACCUCCUGGUCGAGGAUCACCACCUCGGCCCGGCCUCCACGGCCGCGCUCCCUCACCGACGACGGCUCAAAGACCGUCGCAACCACCAUUGUACCCUACGGCAUCUUGCGCCAAGCCGGCUCCACGCCGGAUCGCGCCCAUGCCGCCGCCACGUUGGUCCAAGCCUGGACCGACGCCGCCUCCAGCUACGCCUUGGCCUGGUUCCUGUCCCACCAGGCCAAGGCCUCGGCGUCAUUGGGGUCCAGGCCGAGGUCUGAGUCGGCCCGCCCCUCCACCUCGCCCCGUUCGGCGAGAUCGGCCCGUCUCCUGCGGAACGCGGCCCCUUCGGCGGCCGCGGCCUCCGCCGCCGCCCUCGCCAGCGCGAUUGGCGUCCUGAAGAAGAAGGCAGAAUGAGCAAAAAGAAGCAAGACUAGCUCGAAAAACCCAGGCACAAGCAAGAAAUAAAGCUUACCCCGUCAAGACUGGGACCGGGGCCGGCCUCCCGUGCCCGCUGCCGCGCUUCUUCUUGGUCGGCCUCCCGGCCACCACCGCGUCCGUCGUGCGCUUCGAGGCCCGGGGUCCCGGCGCGAUGCUGUCUUUUCCAUGCGGGCGGCUCGGCGCCGCCCCAUGCGAGGACCCGGCUCUGCCUCGCGUCGCCGCCUCCCUCGCCCAACGCCACUACACCAACAACCGGCAUCAGCAUCGCCUGCAACGCGACAUGAUCAACAAUUCAAAUGAAGAAAGAAAGAUGCAAGAUUUACCCGCGCGACGCCCAGCGCCGGUGUUGGAUUCGGCCACCUCCUCCUCGCCAGGAGCCGCGGGGUCCUUUGGCGCCACCGGCGCCACCUACGACGGAGCCCAGGCGUAAGGAUGCCGAAUCGCGUUCAUAAGAAUCUCCCGCGUCGCGUCAGGAUGGAUGAGAAGAUGUGCGGCAGCAAAGUAAGAAGACCAGACACUAACCUACGGCGCCGGGUUCGACUGGCUGUACGGUGCCUUGCCGAACUGCCAGUCCUCUCCAAGGUUGGCCUUCGAGAUGUCGUUCACACCGCGCGCGUCCUGCUCUGCGGAUAGCCGCAUCGACCCCAUGCGGUUAGGAUCCUGCAGGCCGAUCAUUUCGCCGAUGAGGCAGGAGCGCCUCUGAAGCGGAAGGACCCGGGAAGUGAUGAACGCGGCAAGGAGGUCGGUGCCGAUGAGCCCCUCCUGCGUCCUCAUCACCGUCACCCGCUCGCAGAGAUUGACGAUCUCCUGCGACGGGCGCCGGAGCGAGUAGCCCCAGUUCGUCUUCGCCCGCGGCGGCACGAUGGCGAAGGGCGGAAGGUUGAUGUGGUCCGUGCCAUGGUUGCGGACGUAGAAGAAAGAGUUAUGCCACUUCUUGGCAGAAUCCUCUAGCGGGAUCUUGGGGAAAUCCGCCCCCGGUCGCUUUGAGAUGACGGCGGUGCCGCAGUCGGCGAACUCCCCGGCCGACGGACCCUGCUUCUUCAAGGAGAAGAAGCGUGCCCAGAGGUCGAUCGUGGGCUUGAUCCCAGGUAUCCCUCACAGAGCAUGAUGAAGCCGGAAAGCUGGACGAUGGCGCCGGCGCCAAGAUGGUGUGGCUAGAGCCUGAAGAACUCCAAGAACGCGCGGAAGAAGGCGCUCGUCAGCAGCCCGAAUCCGCGCUCGAAGUGCGUGAGGAAGACCACGCACUCCUGCCCCUCAGGCCGAGGCCUCUGCUCGCCGCGCGGUAGGCGAAUGCCAACGUCCGUCUCCCAUGGCAGGUGCCGCGACGCCCAGAGCCGGGUGAUGUCGUCGGCGGUGAUGUUCGAGCCCAUCCAGGAGCCCGACGGUAGCAACAUGAUGUGAAGAAGAGGCAGACGAAGAUGGAUGGCGGAGGAAGCUCUGCUUGGAGCAGCGGGCGCCGCGGUGCGUCGGUUGCAAAGGGCAGGGCGAAAGCAAAGGGACAGGAGGGCGCGAGCGAGAAUAAUGUCCGCCGCCCCCCUGUNNNNNNNNNNNNNNNNNNNNNNNNNNNNNNNNNNNNNNNNNNNNNNNNNNNNNNNNNNNNNNNNNNNNNNNNNNNNNNNNNNNNNNNNNNNNNNNNNNNNNNNNNNNNNNNNNNNNNNNNNNNNNNNNNNNNNNNNNNNNNNNNNNNNNNNNNNNNNNNNNNNNNNNNNNNNNNNNNNNNNNNNNNNNNNNNNNNNNNNNNNNNNNNNNNNNNNNNNNNNNNNNNNNNNNNNNNNNNNNNNNNNNNNNNNNNNNNNNCCCCGGUUCAAACGUGGGGGAGUGGGAUCGUCUGCACGCGCCCGUUCCACUACCCUGCAAUAAGUGCGCAUGUACACGUGCAGUAACUAAUCGGGGAACUACAGCCGGCCCCCAGACACCGCAAUAAAUCCGCGCGCAUGGGCCAAGGGCGCCCGGCGGCGGGCCCCGGCCCGUCACCCAGUCCCGUCACGCGCGUGGUCUGUCAGGCCCCUCCGGCUUCGACCGCCACGUGGCGCCCGUGCAAAGCCCGAGGGGUUGCCCCAAGACUCGAUGGACUCCUCGGUUCCCGCCACGGCCAGGAUGCCGCGAUCCGGUUUUCGAGAAAACCGGCACACAGUGGGUGUUGCCAGACCCGGCGCUUGCAGAAUCCGCCUUGCUCAAGGGGGAAACUGUGAAGGCCCAGUCAUCUGAGGACGGCGGACCUUCACAGCUUCGGGUUCUAUUGUCGGGGGGGAUGAACCCCGGGCAGGCAACGGAACCAGGAUCCUCUUCAAAAACAAUGGGGCCCGCAUCGCCCCUCAAAACCGGCACGCGCCUGGCCGGGUCGCUCGACCCGGCAAGGCCCGCAGCCCGGCCAACCCUUCCGACCCGGGAAGGUACGUCGACCCGGACUCAGCAACUGGCGCAAGGCGUCCGAACCCGGCACGACCAAGGCUUCCCCAACAAGCCGACCCUACCCGUGGCGUGCGCUGCAAUCCAGCCACGGGUCAAGCUCCCGUCCCAUCCAGGUCGUACGAUGGGACGAGACGACAGUCACCGAUGACCAAGACAACAGUGUUUGCACCCAUGCCUAUGGUCAGACGGAGCGUGGCAACAGUGCCCCUUACCUACCCGCUGACCAGGGCUGGCGUGGCAACAGUGCUUCCGCCCUCACCGCUAACGACACCAAGCGGCAGCCUGACGGGAAGCACUGUACACGACUCGACUCGGCCAUGCCCUGACGAUCUACAAGACGGCGCACAGUUCCCCUAGGCAUGCGGGGCCCGCACCUAGGGGAACCCGGCGAACCACAAGCCCUCAAGCGGGACCCAGCCCGGGAUCCCGGACACCGACAAUACGGACCCACCGACUCGGCAUAUUACCAUUGUAACCCUGGGUGGGUUGGUCUAUAAAACUCCCCAGGAACCCGCGCUUAUAGGGGCAUAGGAUAUGGAAUAGAAGGCAACAGAAGAUACACAAGGCUUCCGGAAGAGCAAGCAAGCAUAGGACUAGCCACCAAGCCGCAACACCGGAGAGAAGGAGCAUCCUAAGCCUUGGCCAACUUCCUUCCUCCUCAUACAGCUCCAGGAGCAACAUCGUACUAUCGAUCAUCCAACUACACUCGGCAGGACUAGGGGUAUUAUCUCUCCGGAGAGCCCCGAACCUGGGUAUGUCCGGCGUCCCGCGCCCGCUCAUGCCAACCUCGCCUCUGGAGCCCACCAGCACCCUCGAGCCUCCUCCUCUCUUUAUCCAUCCCUUGGCAUCUGCCGUGCGCCCACCACGACAUACCUGAUAGGAGAAGAGAGAAUAGGGCACUAGGGUUUUUGGUCACCCCGUUGCCGCCAUCUCUACCACCUCCGCCGACCGGAGCUCACCUCUCUUUCUCCCCGACUUGUCCCUGCUCCGGGAGCUCGCUCCUUGGCCUCCUCCUCGCCCCUCCGACGAGUGACACCGCCGGCUUGGACCACACCACUACCGCUCUUCCCCGCAACAACCGACCACGCAACUGUUGACCAGGAAGUUCGUCACUAAAUUUUAGAACCUUUUAAAAUUGUGAGCACAUGUUUCUUUUUCAUGAGCAUUUAAAAACCAGUGCAUUUUUUAUUUUACAGUUUUUACUAUCUUUCUAUUUUAGCCAGUCUUUUCAGGAGAAACCAAGAAAGAAAACCAGAGGAAAACCAAUAGUCUCGAUCUAUGAACUGGGCCAGCCUAGUCGUUGGCUCCUAUCCUGUUGCUCGACAACUCGUCACAGCGAGUGUCAAGCAGGAGCUCCGCAAUACAGGUUUAUUUAGUGUUUGCUAUGACUAUCACUCAUCAUAGCAACUAAAACCAUAGAUGUAUUUUACAGAACUCAUGGGUAUAUAUAUUAUGAAAUAAAUGAAAUUUAUUUCGAAUUAAAGAAUAUUUUUUUCAAAAUCCACAAGCAUUUUUUAAUUUAUGAACAUUUUUAAAGAAAUCACUGAUAACAUUUGCAAAAAUUCAUGAAUAUUUCCAAAUUUAAUAAUAAGGUGAAUAUUUUUAAAAUUUCAAGUAUAUUUUCAGGAUUUCUAAAAUUGCAAAAAAAACUCAAAUUUGCAAACAGUUUUUUCGUAUCACGGACAUUUUUAAAAUUUUAAAAAGAUGAGUUUUUUUUUGUAAAAUCACAUCUUUUUUCCAAUAUCUAACUGAUAAACAAUUUUUAAAAAAUCAGUGUAAUAAAUAAGCCGAAAUAUAGGCUGGCCCAGGAUCUACCGGCCGUGAAUUUCCUUUAGUAUCCUGCAGACUAGGCGUGUAAUAGGUCGAUCCUUGGUGCGUGCGUGAUUCAGCUAUCUCUACUCCUAAUGGAGCAGUUGGUAGUCUCGCUUCCAGGUUUUUUUUCGUCCCACCUCACCCGGUUUUUUUUGGUACUUCUUUGGUACUUCCUCCCACCUCCCACCUGUUUCAUUUCGCUGGUUUUUUCGUCCCUCCCCUACCCCACCGGUUUAGUUUUGCGUCAUCCUCUCACACAACGAAAAAAAUCUUAACGGAUCAUAACUUUCCAUGCGCCACCCUCCCAUCAAUGCAAUCUGAUUUAGGAAACAUAUAAUAAAUUUUAAGGAAACAAAUAACAGACUUUAAAGAAAAAUCCAAUUUUAAGGAAACAAAUCAAUCGAUCCAUCCAAAUCAAACGAUCCAUCUCAUCAAUGCAAUUUGCUUUAGGAAACAUAUAAUGGAUGUGAAGGAAACAAAUAAUAGACUAUCUAAAUCAAUCGAUCCAUCCCAUCAAUGCAAUUUGAUUUAGGAAACAUAUAAUAAAUUUUAAGGAAACAAAUAACAGACUUAAAAAAAUCCAAUUUUAAGGAAACAAAUCAAUCGAUCCAUCCAAAUCAAACGAUCCAUCUCAUCAAUGCAAUUUGCUUUAGGAAACAUAUAAUGGAUGUGAAGGAAACAAAUAAUAGACUAUCCAAAUCAAUCGAUCCAUCCCAUCAAUGCAAUUUGAUUUAGGAAACAUAUAAUAAAUUUUAAGAAAACAAAUAACAGACUUUAAAGAAAAAUCCAAUUAACUAAUCUCUACUCUUAAAGGCCCCUCGAUUGAUUUUUGUCCCUCGCUUCCUUUCCCAGCACUUAUACAAUGGAAGGAAUUAUAAUCCACCUAUUUGUUCUCCUAUAUAUCCGUGCAGGCAACACAACAUAAACCGGUGAAAAAAACACUCACCUCGCACGUCCCCCUGCCUGCAAUCCCGAAACGCCGCCAUCGCUCCAGGCUCCAGCCUCCGCCGUCCUACAUCUUGCCCCUCUCCAACCUCAGAGACCUCCGCCACCGCCGCCAUCUCGGAACCCCAGUUUAGGGCAGGACUCAGAGAGGGUGUGGCUGUGGACGACGCUGCCGCCGUCGCAGAACCCUAGGGCAGGGCGUGGUCGCGUUGCGGGCAGCGAGAGCGGCCGUGCGUCUCCCCCGUCAGGCCGUCCUCGGCAGGAACUCGGGACCUCCUCCUGACAGAGGUAAGGCCCUCCGAGGUCCAAGUCGCUGUGCGGCGUGCACAGUAAUCUCCCCGGCCUACUCUGUCUUCACGUCAAUGCUCAUGUGCUCCGACCCUCCCCGACCCCUCCCAGCAAGCAGCAGAGUCUCUCGGGUUCGAGCUCCACCGGGCCGCCGGCGGCGGCGUCCAUGUUCGUUGGGCGGAGCACAAUGCUAGGUUUGAAAUUCACCAUGAUGCUACUGAUGAGGCUCUCCUUCUCCUUUGUUUCGUCUGGGUUUUUUCGUUCCCCCUCCCACCACCCCAUCUCGUCUGGGUUUGAAAUCAAUAAGAGCAGCACAAAGUCUAGGUCCCUGUCUCGGUGGCAGGCGGAAGGAGAAGAAGGAUUGAUAUGUAUGAGAAUAUUAAUAUUGAACUCUUAAAGUUAAUGUGGCCCCGUUGCAACGCACGGGCGUUCUUCUAGUUAUGUUAGUCGACCAGGUUGUUGAAUAAGUAUGCCACAUGUGAACAUAUAUGAAACAUGCUUACAAUGUUGAAAAUAUCGCGGUCAUUUUAACCUGCGGAAGCAAUGUAUUUGGUUUAUAUUUUCAUAUGUGUUCAUCCAAAUAACUUCCAGCUGUCCCUUUGCCUCCUCUGCCAGCCCAGUAACCAGCAUUUGUGCACAUGACAUGCUGGCACAACUAGCCUCGAAUUAUUGCAUUGCGCUGAUAUGUACGGAUAAUGAGCUAAAUGAAUUCUUGCCCGUUGUCGAGUGUGUUCUACUAUCACUACUUCUUUUUGAGUCGACAUUAUCACUACUUGAUUUUUUCUUUUGAGGGGGCGCUAUCACUACUUGUCAGAUAAUUGAUCCAAUAUUUUUAGGCCCGUCAGUAAGUAGACAUUAGACCAAAACCCAACUCAACCAUCCCAAGGCCAGGCCCUAGGUUCAAAAAAGAGGGCCAGGCCCAGGCAGGUUAAUUUGACCAGUUUUUUAUUUCUGAGUCUUUUUUUUUUAGCAUCAGUACAGACACAAGCACUCAUAUACACGCGCAUACACUCACCCUUAUGAACGCACACACGCAUACCCUACCCCUAUGAGCACCUCCGAAAGACUGAGCCGACAUAUCAUCUUGAAAUUUACGAAGUCACCGUAGGCACCUCGUCGUUCACGGGAACGUCUCCUUCCACUGAAAGCGCAUCGCCGAAAAUCCUGAAAUAAAUUCAGGAAUAAUGCGAGCACCAGGAUUUGAACCCUGGUGGGUUGAGGAUACCAUUGUCCACCUAACCAUCUCAACCACAGGUUGAGAGUUCGCAAUAACCUACUAGUUCGUAUCCGUAGGCUAGGGUAAAACAGAAGAUUACCAAUCGAUCGAUCUACCAGGAUCGAGAUCGAUCCAUGUCUUCCUCCACGGUACGCAAGCGCCCACCUGCCAUUACCGCCGCCACCGCCAGCUCCGGGGACAUCUCGCCAUGGACGACCCUGCACGGGGAUCUGGUCCGCCUCGUCGGAUGGCGGGUGCUCGCCGGGGACCUACUCGACUACGUCCGCUUCCGUGCCGUCUGCCCGUACUGGCGGUCCAGCACCGUCUGCCCGCGCGGCCACGGAAUCGUUGAUUCGCGGUUUCACACGCGCCGCUGGAUGAUGUUGCCCGAGGGGCACGGGCUCCAUCCCCGUGAAGACGGCAAGAAACGUUUCUUCAACCUGUCCACUGGAGUCUUCGUCCGCCCUCGACUUCCUGUUCUUAGAGACCACUUCGUCCUCUGCCCAGCAGAUGGCAUGCUCCUCGUCCUGCGGCCGCGGACAUACACCCAGGGCGACCAUCCAUGCCUCCUCCAUCCCUUCACGGGCGACGUUGUGGAGCUCCCGGCAGACAUAACUCUCCCAGAAAACUUGGAAAGACGCUUGUUACCAAUCAACGUGUUCGCCGCUGUGAGUACAAGUCCAGAUGGAGUCCUUGGGGUCAUGGUCACGUUUCAGAAUACACCAUUCAUACUCUUUGCUAGCACAAAUGACAAGCGGUGGAGUUUAUGUGCCUUUCCGGGCUUCCGCCCACACCCACAUGCAAGCCCAUUAUCAUUCAAAGGACAACUUUACAUGUUGCAGGAGCAGAUAUCUAGCUCGGAAGUAAAUAUUCUCCGGUUCGACCCACCUUGGCAAGAUCACUCAACGACAUUGGGUUUAGCUUCGUCUUCCUUGUUGUCACCCAAGUUGGUUGCCACAUGUCCCGCGGAUAAGUUCCACUUGCCCGAGCUGGUAGAAUGCGACUCCGAGAUCCUGGUGGUUGGCAAUAAAGAAACUACACAUAUUCUUAUUUACAGAUUAGCGGAUCUUGCCCAAGGAAAGUUUGUCCCAGUAAAAAGCAUCGGAGGAAAUGCUCUUUUGAUUGAUAGUAAAAGGAACCCGAGUUUUAGUUUGUCGGCGGUGCCUACCACCACGGGUGAUACCAUUGUGCUUGCAGAUCGCACCCCUGACAAAUAUAUUUUUCAAUACCACCUCAGCAGCGAUACCUGGUCAUCAAGAGUUGGGGGAUGUGCAGAACAUGGUUGUAGCAUGGAGUGUUGUACUUGUAGCCUCAUUGACCAUAUGUGCAAUACCUGUCGAUGUGUUUCUAAGUGGUGAGCUACUUGUUGCACCCGCUCAAACUUACUUAGUUCAGACAACUUAGUUGGCAUGAUAAUGAUUCCCCUCCUAUAUAUACAUGCAGGGACACACGUGGUGGAAUAAUCAGUCCAGCCAGGUGGAAUAAUAAUCAGUUCAUUGCGAACCAUAAUGCAGGUCAUAUCUAGCGGUUAGCAUGGGUGGCGAUAUGCAUGGAGCAAGUUCAAUUUGAACUGUAAUACCUUCGUUAACCGACUGUUAUGCUGUGGCAGAUAUUCUCUUAUCUUCUGCUAGUAAAUUGCUCGAGUUAUACCUAUUUGGCAGUACAUACUUCAGUUCUAGCUAGUAGUACAAAAUUGUUAAUCGUAAUUCAUCUCAUCUCAUAAUAUUCUGUACCUGAAAUUUAUUGGUUUGUUCAUUCAUCUCCUCCUGCUUCAGUUCCUUGUACUCCAUCCUUCUUUCCCCUAUCUUUACAUGCAGUUCUGAAGUCUGAUUAUUUGGUUCUCAACAUUUCAGCACUAGCAGAAUCAGAGAAGCCAUUCCUUCUAACCACCCCAUGAACGAACAAAAAAUAGUCUUUUUGGACCAUCUAUUAUUUCAGAGCAUUUAGGAAUGUUUUUUCAUCAUGAAAAUUUGUACAUCUGUAGACUAUUUGUUAAUGUUUGUUGCAAAAAAAUCAGAUUUUUGAAUUUUUACAGUUGUUCUGAUUUUAUGGUUCACGAGGGAGCAUUUAAGCUGACGAGCAGAACUAGAUGCCCUAUUUCACAUUUAUUUUUCUAGUAUCUUGUUUUAUUAAGCUGCAGAUGGUUCAUGUCGUUCAUACAUAUAUGGAGGUUCACCAUGCCUCGGUUUGGUCUGCACAGGAUUCUUAGUGGCCUGCUGCCGGUCCACCUGUGGCCGAUCCUUUCUUAAUUUGUUGCAUUAUUAUUAAUCAGUUACUGCUUGCACAGAUAGAUACAAUACAACUAGUAGUAUGAAAAUGAUUUGCAUAACUAGGAGAAGGGUAACUGAAGGGUUUUUUUUUUCGGGUGGAGGGUAACUGAAGUCGAAUUGCCACUUUGCGACGCGUGGUCUGCGAGCCCAGUGAUAGUUGCGGCAGCACUUGAUAAUCCCUAGAUAGACACGGCACGGCCGCAGUACUCUUCUUUCCUUUGAGAAAUUUGCAGUCCCUAGAGCUUAACAAAUUUUCACUUGGCCUUGACAGCUCGCUGUGUAUUGAUGGUUCGAAUUAUAGAUGGACGCGUAGCAAACUCCAUCGAUCACCGGAUAGUAGAUGCAUAGCAUAUACUCGUAUUGUGAAUGCAUGUCAUUUUCAUGCAGACAGAUCGACAACCAACUUAUUAGAGUGUACUGUACCAUGCAUGCUUCAUGCUUCAGCUAGCAUGCAUAUACAUAGCUGCAUAUCUCUCUCUUCCAGUUCCAGCAUCCAAUCGGCCACCCCAGAGAAGGAAAAGACGCAUGCAAAUUAAGCUCUUGCAAGCAAGUACAGAUCACUGAACAGAAUUCAGACACAUCGCUCAGGUUAAUUAUGUGCUUGCUGCUAGUUCUAGAAUAUAGUACACUAGAAGUGUUGGGCGUGCUUUUGCUGCACCGUUGGUGUUGUUGUGUUUCUUAAAAACAUUACUCACUCUGUUUCAAAUAUAAGGUAUAUUAUUUUUUUCCGCAAAAAAAAGGUAUAUUAUUUUUUUAAAGUCAAAUAUUUUUAAGUUUGAUCAAAUUUGUAGAGAAAUAUAUCAAAAUUGAUAAUACCAAAUCGGUAUAUUUAGAUUCAUCAUGAAAUGAAUUUCCAUUUUUUGUUUAAUAUUAUGGAUGUUGACAUUUUUGGCUUUGAACUUGGUCAAAGCUAAAGGAAUUUGACUUUCAAAAAAACUAAUACCCCUCUUAUUUUGGAACUGGUGGAAUAUUUAGUUUGGCGAGGACGGGAAAUGAUGUGUGUGUUUCAUUUUUUUAUAACUCGAUGAUUUGGUGGGCCUUUCUCGAUGUGAUUUUGUGUUAUUCGCUAAGAAACCCAUAUUUAUGUGGGGAAGUUUCUGUGUCGGUAGCUGCAUGUACUAUAUUGGUGCUAUAGUAUCACAUGAUGGUGUUUUUUUAGGUGGUGGAAGGUGAGCGGGAUUGAUAUGUUUUUAUAGCUGGUUGCUGAUGAUUGAUUUAAAAAAUGCUUGGCUCGAUCAAAAGCGUAAACCAAAUCCAUAAUUGAAUACCUCAAUCAAAUUGAAGACCUUCAAAAUUAGGGUACAAUAGUAAAUUAAAAUAAUUGAAUAGGAGAGCUCCUCAAGAAAUUAUUGACCCAGUCAAAAUUAAGUGACUCAAUUUUAAAUGAAGACCUCAAUUAAUUAUGAGGCCUUAAAAAAGUUAGAAAGCACAAUGUAUGUAUAGUAUAAAAGAAUUGAAUGAGAGAGCUUUGAGAAAUUGUUGACCCGAUCAAAAACGGGUGAUCCAAUUUUAAUUGAAGGCCUCAAUUGAUUCUAUUCCAAGCCCUUUAAAAUUAGUGAGCUUAGUGUUAUAGAGGAUGCACAAUUUUUUUGGUGUUCACGCUUUUUCACUUUUUUGGGGCAUCCUUUUUCUUGUUUUUUAUUCUAUCCAUUUUGGAUUUUACUAGUUUUUAAAUUUUAUUUUGACAAGUCAAUACUUUUAAAUAGGAAAAUAUUUCUUUAAAAUGCAUGAGCUUUUCUAAAGCCCUUGAACAUUUUUUAAGUCUUCAACAUUUUUAGUAUCCAUUAAUAUUUUGUGUUUAUUAUCAUUUUUUAAUAUAUUUUUACUUCAGGAAUGCUUUUAUAGAUUUUUAUCAACAUUAUUUAAAUGCACAAUUUUUUUUAAAAAGGACCAUGAUAUUUGACACGUGUGUGCUAGAUAGCAAAAUUUACCACAUACCUCUUUCUUUCUCCCUAAUUACAUGCAUGAUUGUGUGCAUUCCUUUCUUUAAUUAUAUGCAUGUAUUAGAGGAGAAAAAGAUGAUGUCAUCCUAGAUUCUCCUUAUUCUAAAAAUUCAAAAUAUUUUGUAGCUCAAACUGUCUGUCCGACGCAAAGACCAUUUCCACACAAGAGAUUCAUCGUAACGAAAUCUUCGAAAGUAGAUCUCAUAUUGAUAUGUUUCGAUGACUUUUUUUAGGUCAAAAGUUACAUUCCUGAGUUACAUAAAUUACCAUGUGUGUGGUAUGCAAGUUAUCAUAAAUUAUCGGAGGCAUCAAAAUGGUUCUCUCACUCUUCUCUACAUACACAUGUAUAUAUGCGUUAGAGGAAAAAAUGUAUAUCAUCCUAGAUUCUCUCUAUUCCAAAACUUUAGAAUGUUUUGUAUCUCAAAUUGUUGGUCCGAUGCAAAAUCUCUUUUCACAUAAAAAAUUCCUCACGGCGAGUUCUUCGAAACUAUAUCUCAUGUUGAUAUGUUCUUGUGACUUUUACUUUCGGUCAAAAGUUAUCAUAGAUGGGCUACAUAUGUUACCAUGUCUGUGGUAUACAAGUUAUCGUGGUAUUUUCACACAAGUUGCCCGGUGUAUGUUUUUCAACAACUUUGUACACUCUUUGGUCAAAGUUCCCUCGGUGUUUGUAUAAAAUUUAUCAGUUAUGCGGUUUGCAUUUUUUUUUUACAUAACUUACCGGGGCAUAUUGUUCAACAAAAAAUUUGCCUCCUUGGUCAAAGUUACCGUAGUGUUUGUACAUAAGUUAUCGAGUAUGCGGUUCGUAUAUUACUGUGUUAUUUUCACAUAAGUUAUUGGGGGUAUAUUUUUGAACAAUUUUUUCCCUCCUUGGUCAAAGUUAUCGCCUGUAUGUAAGUUAUUGGGUAUGUGAUUUGUAUGUUACCGUGAUAUAUUCACAUAUUACCGCUGGUAAGUUUUUCAACAACUUUUUUUCUUGUAAAAGUUAACAUGGUGUUUGUAUGUAAGUUAGCGGUUGUGCGGUACUUAUAUUACCAUGUUAUUUGCAUAGAUAUUACCAGGGUAUGCUUGAAAAACUUUUUUCCCUUGGUUAAUAUUACCGCGGUACUUAUACAUAAGUUAUGAUAUUUUCACAUAUUUUUCAUGGGUUUUUUCUACAACUAUUUUUUGGGGGGGACAAAGUUCUUAGGUACAAAGACUCAAGAUCAUAAAAUUGGCAAUAAAAUAGUUGUUUGUUUAGUUUUCUGAGAAACAUUUGUAACUUUAAAUACUCAUAACAUUACAAGUACACUGAUUUGGACCUAAGAUCCAAUAAAAUACAAAGUAACUUCUAUGACUAAAAUUACAAUAAAAUCUCUUGAAAACGUCUUCUUCGCGGCGUCAAUCUCUGCUCGAAGAAAUACUCCAAAGACUUCGGUAAAGAGAUUGCAAUUGCACUGAAGCAACGAUGUUGUCACUCUUUUACCUGCACGAACACUACCAAUAAUGAUUUUUGAAAGCGCCUUGAGUUGCCCAUCCAAAGAGAUGAAAAGCCUGGAUCGAUGAACGUGCUUGGGUUGGGGAUGAUCCCCUAGAUGUGCAGGUCGUCGAAUCACUAUAUCUUCACCAUGUUGUCAAUGAAAGUUUUCAAUUCCACAAAAAAUCAGACCAACAAAAAAGCUUGACACAACAACAUAAAAAAAUCAGAUCUGAGUAAUCGGAUCUGCGAGGACAGAAAACUCUCUAACCUCAUGACACUGCCAAAAAAAUGAGUGAAAAUUUAUUCUCACAAAACUAUGAUAAUCAGUAGAAGAACAUAGAGAUCUUGAAGAUGCGAGGUCCCCCCACCUCUCAGCGCCAGGAUGACAGCCGGAGGCGAGGGGACCUAAAUUUCUCAGAUGACGACAGUGAUGGUACAAGAAACCCUUAUUGUUUGUUUAUUUUCUUGUGGGGUAAUUGUUUGUUUAGUAUGGUUGUUUGGCUGAACCAAGGGGCCUCAUCUGGCCUUCCCACGUGCAUAACAAGAAGUCGGUAGAAACUUGAGCCCAAAUGCUAGAUGACUGUUGUAAAACAAUCACCGGGUAGGCGGAAACUUUUACAAACAAAAACGAUCAAACGCAUGGUGACAUCCUGUGUACUAAUAUGGCUAAGAGAUCAAAUAGUUUGGUUUCCCAACUCCAACAAAAGCCAAAACGCCGGUGAGUUAGUUGCAGGGUCGAGCUCGCUUCCUAGCUAUCGGUGUCAUUUUCCAUCAUUUUUAUCCUCUGCUCCGAAUAGAUGGGAGCGUUAGGUGCCGAAAACCGCGUCCGCCAGAUGCGGAUCGGACGGAGUUGCAUGCGUUCGGUACGUCCACCAAGAAGAUGUGGUGUGCCACUUAGAUUUCCCAUUUCAAAAAUAUGUUUUCUGAAAUUCCACACCAUGAUUUGUAAGUUAAUGAAUCUUUAGAAUAUACUAUUUUUAAACAAGAAUAUAUAUCUAGAUCGAACAUUUAUAAUAAAUUGACCACCUUUUAAAUUUGUUGAAUAUUUUUAAACUUUAUAAAUAUUUUUAAAAUUUAGUGAUAAAAUUCUACUCUUUUGUAUUUUAUUUCAUUUAUCUAAACCAAAUAUAAAUUUUUUGCAUCUAAAAGAAAAAAUACAAUAGAUUCUGACAUAAAAAUGGGCCCGGACCAAUUUUAGUCCACGGAUACCGGUCCUGGGAUUUUGGCCAGCCCAGCACAGCGCCGCAUCCGCGUUUACUCGCUAUCCCGUGCCUUAUGUUACAGGAUAGGAGCUCUACUUUCUAAGCUUGAACAUUUUUGCAGGAAAUCUGUGUGCAAAAAUAUAAAAUAAAGAGAAAACCUAAGAAAAAGGCCAAUGCAAUAACAGUGAAAAAACCUAUUAAAAAAACACAGGGAAAAAACUUGUGGGCGCUCAAUUAUUGUGCUGGCCCAAAAUAGUCGGCUGCAGGCGAGCUGUAAUAAAAUCAGUACUGGCGAUGUAUAGCCUCUGCAAUAGUUGCUCAAUAAAAAAUGGUAUCUGGGAUUUUGGCUAGCCCAGCACAGCGCCGCAUCCGCGUUUACUCCCUAUCCCACGCCUUAUGCUACAUGAUAGGAGCUCUACUUUCAAAGCUUGAACAUUUUUAUUUUGUCAAAACAAGCAAACCCUCAAAACAAAUGUGAACGAAGAAGUAGGGACGUUGUAGUUGUACUUCUGUUCGACAGGUCUGGAACUUGGGAGAUCGCCUUAAUUAGGGCUAUGAUUGCUGUUAAUUUUUUUCCAACGAGGCAUCCCCCAUAUGAUCGCCGUUAUAAAGUUAGCUCGGAUGUUCUGAUUUUCCUUGUUUCCGCCGGUGCUCUGCUUUUACCUUAAUGGAGAAGGCGCAACGCCCAGGAACUCAGAAAUGAAGAUCAUCAAGCCAUUUCUACCGUGCGGCACCACUUUGACGAUAUCCUGCCCUUGUGGUAAUCCUUGCCCAAAGAACAGUAGUAGAGUACAUCGGACCUCAACACUCAGCAGAGAUUAGCACCAUGGAUAAUGCACCGCGAGAGACAGCAGCAGCCACAGAACGGGAAGCCACACACGGAGAUCCAGAGCGGAGCCCUGCAUCUGCUGCUUGAUUUUGGGUUUCCAGUGUGAUGAUUUGCUCAAGAGAAUACAAACAUCAGAGGAGCAUUAUGAUCCAAAUUCCUUGAAAUUCUCGUGGUGCACAUCGAUGUUGUAUCGUGUCGGCAGGAAGGCCACAGGCCAAAAGCUUUCUGGCCAUGCUGCAUAAUGCAGAGAUACAGAACAGCACAAUCAGACACUCUUCCAGGAGCCAGAACUUCUCUCUCGCUCAGCAGCCAACAAUCUCAGAAAACAAAUGAGCCAGUUCACACAAGUUACAUGUAAAUUUCCUCUUGCUUUCUUCCAUUACGCAUCAUCUAAUCAAUCCAUACUAUAUCGACAGCAGCUGCUGCAGCAGCCAGUGGAUGACACACAAGUAAGAACAGAGAAAGAUGGCAAAAAUUAUCAGUCUAUUUCCCGUGGAUUACAUGAUGAUAUGAUGAUGAUGAACUUAUUCACAUUAUCACAUAAGGCAGAGUAUCAGAUAUUCAGAACUUGAGUGGUAGUAAAACAGAGACCAAAAAUCCAAUUCUAUCGAGAUAGUAGAAGCACUUCGCAGUAGGCAGCCGCGCCGCCGCGUUAGUCCGGGAGCAGGAAGGGGAGGAGGUGACGCAUCCGAAGCAGGCGGGAGGC